UGCAUUCAAGGAUGUAAUCUUUGCACUAAGAUCAAGAGCUACACGAUCACGAGCUUCCUCUUUUAGAGAUUCAAUCAGAAGUUCAACUUCCUGCUUUCUCAUGGAUUGAAACGAAUGGAUCUUGUGAUUGCUCAAAAGGUGCACUGUGCACAAUUUCCGCAUGUUACGCCAAUACACACCAUACUUUGCAAAUAUCAUAUUUUUUUGGCCAUAAGCCAAAUAUUGAGAUGCCUCAUGAUGAGGCCUACUAGCAAAGAUGUGAUCAUAUGUCUUGAGAAAUUUCUCAGCUGCAUCAGCGGACGAGGCAAUGGUCGUAGGUACUAGUCCUAAUCGCAAAUACAUAAUAGGACCAUGUUUCUUGGCUAGUCUUUGUAAAUCUUGGUGUGGAUUUUUGCAUACAAGAUAUUAAAACUAUAGGGGCUCGUUUGGGUUAACUGUUACCGGUUAGUGGGUAGAGAGGAUUUAUCUAUGCAUUAAAAUUAAAGAAAAGACAUUUUUUCCUCCCUGAACUUUUUCACUAACUUACUUUAACACUUAAACUUAACUUCCAUUUAUUUACCCCUUAACAUCUUUAAACUGUAUUAGUUUCACCCCUUAAUAUAUAAUAAUACCACUCUAACACGGAGAGUGUGUUACACUCGCCCACACAUCAGCACCACGUUGGAGUGAACGGGGUGGGGGUGGAUGAGAGAAAGAAAUAUAUAUAUAUAUAUAUAUAUAAAUAUUUUUAAAUAUUUCAAAGAGAUAAUACCUCAUUACCUCCUGAACUAUACCCAAAACGGCAGAGACACACCUCAACUUAAAGGGGGUCAUAUUACCCCUGAACUAAUUAAAAGUGUAACUUUGACACCCUUAGCACCUACGUGGCACAACACACUAAAGUGUCCACGUAGGCACACGUGUGUGCCACGUAUAUCUCAUGUAGGUACUAAAGGUGUCAAAAUUACACUUUUAAUUAGUUCAGGGAUAAUAGAGACCGUUAAGUUAAGCUGUGCCACAACCAAAUAGUUCAAGGAAUAAUAAGGUAUCUUCUCUAUUUUAAAUAAAAGAAAUAUACCCUCCCCCUUUCUAUCUUCUUCAAACCCCCCCUCCUCCCCCACUUCUUUCUUUCUCUCAUCCACCCCCACCCCGUCCACCCCCCACCCCGUCCAUAUUCUACACAAUUCAAGGAAAUAAAAAAAGUUUUCCAUUCUCUCAUACUAAACACCCCUUAUAAACUAAGAAUCAACUGCAAAUUAGCUCAAAUUAAGGCAAAAUUAAAACAAAAUCACUCUGGCAAACCUCAUAAGUCAGGGAAAAAACAACAUAGAAUAAUUUUAUUUGGCUUAUUUAUGAAAUGUAGAGCAGGAAUUAGGUAAAGACAAUUAAAGAAUAGAGGUGAAAAGGAGAAAAGUAGGUACGCCAUGAAAGAGGAGAUUGAGGAAUGGGGAAUCAUAAAUAGACUUGAUUUCAUGUUGAGUCCAGUUGUUUCUGGGUCCUUGACAAUGACGAAUAACUCCGGCCAAGUAGAACCAACAACGAUAAUGGCUGCCGAAUUGAUCCAACCCACACCAUCACCCAACAAGAGGUGCGACAGUUGUAUAUACACACGAAUGACGACUUUUGCAGAAACUGGAACUGAAGCAGUAGCUCUCAAUUUGCUGCUACUUUGGAAAUUUCGCUGUUAAUUCAACUGAUUUUAAUACUACAGUGGGUGUUGUACCUCAUGAAAGUUUGGUGUUUAAUGGAGGAAAAAUUUUAAUUUAGUAUCUUAGUGAUUAUUCUUUGACGGUGUUAAUGGAGAAAAAUAAAAAGAAUUGAAGGAGAAUGUUGGUGAAAAUGAAUUUGAGGAUGUUAAUGGAGGAAUUUGAGUGUUGUUGUUGUUGAUGUUUUGGAGAAGAAAGAAUAAAAGGUAUUUAUUUUUUUAUUUUUUAAAAUUUUUUAAUUAUAUUUUAAAUAUAAUAUUAUCGAAUUUUUUUUAUAUAUAAAAAUACGUGCCUUUUUUUUUCUUUAAACAAGUAUUUAAAAGAAAUUAAAUAGACAAAAAUAGUGUUUUAACGCACUCAACAACAUUUGCUUACAUGCGUGCAAUUAAGGGGGAAUUUUAAUAAAGUUUAAAGAUGUUAAGGAAUAAAUAAAUGAAAAUUAAAUUUAAGUGCUAAAGUAAGUUGAGCGGACAAGUUCUCAGAAAAAAUGUCUUUUCUCUUAAAAUUAACAUAAUUUAUAUACAUAUGUUUGGUUGACUUUUUUUUUUUUUUUUUUCAACAAAAAUCAUUGAUGAUACAAUGCAUGGUAUUCACAUUUUUCUUUUACACAAAAUUAUUACAUGUAUGCAUUCUAUAGGAAUCUAUGUAUUAUUGUAGGCGGAGUAAAGGCCAAACACAUCGGCAAACCUUUUAAACUUGAUACGAAUUUUCACUUUGACAUCUAAAGUGAAUGUUGUUCAUUUUAAACACCUAAACGAACCUUCAAUUGUGUCAAUUUAAACUAGUUUUCAAGUGUGAACUAGUUUUUGACAAAUUUUGACAGCUAAUUUAUAUUGGAAAGGGACUUACAAAUAAAGAAAAGGAUUACGUGGCUUUUUGGAUGGUGAAAAUGGUUUGUAUUAUUGGUUUUUAUGGAAAGAGACAAGUAACAAACUCUAUGGUCAGAAUAAUCAGAAUAUUAAUGCACAUAAUAGCAGGUCAAACCCGCCAUUGUUUAAGGCCACGCGUGGGUUCAUAUAUUUAACUCUAAUAAUGGCACAAAUUACGUAUUAUUAACGAUACAUAUUAAUAAUAUUUUAUGAAUUAGACUAAUGGUUGAUUACCUAUCAAAGGAAAAAAGAGCAAGAUCAAGGGGAUGACUUAUUCCUUGUUAACUAGGGAUUUUCAUUAAUUUAGUACCAGCCACAUCCAAGCGAGAACUCGUUCUGCUAUGUUUAUCUAUUCCCGUGAGUCGUUUUUCCAUAGAUAUAAAUGACAGAUUAUUUAGUUUUUAAUUUAAGGGACGAAUGUUAGUUUUUAAUCCUCGUUGAGCCUACUCAAUAUGAUCGUUCGAAAUUAAGUUUUUGAUUGAUUUAAUUGGUGUAGAUGUUGAAGGAAUAACUAAAUUAGAUAGAAAAAGUUUUUGAUCGAAGAACUCGAUACAAGUUUUUAAAUUUAGACGUGUUUUUCUCUCUUCUCACCCGUUGUUAUUUUCUCUCUCUUCACGAUAUUUGUUGUUCAUUGUUGUCGCUGCUUUAUUCAUCAUCUUCAGAUUCAUUAUCAUCAUCUUAUACUUCAUUAUCAUCUUCAUAUUGUUCUUGUUGACCAUUGUUGUUGUUGUUGUUGUUAUUGCAACUGCUGCUCUUUGACCAAUUUCUUAUGUCAAAUUUUUUUUUGUACAUCACUUUCAACUUUGACAUUUACUUGAGAGGAGACUUUGGUAAGUAAAAUUAUUUUUUUUAGUUAAAUUUGUUAUCUGGGUAACUGCUAGUGUGCUGUUUUUUCAACAAUAGCUAGCACGCGAACAUGAAUGCAACAUAAGAGCAAUCUGUUUAAACAGAUCCAUCAUCUAUGGCACCAGAUAAAUAUUCUGUUGCAGCAGUAGACUCAUGUUGGAUUUAUGUUUAUGGUUCUAGAUGUCCGUAAUAUGAAUCGAAUAAAUGGAUAUUCUGUUGCAACAAAUCAGUAAUCUGUUUCAACAUAUUGAUAUUCUGUUGCAACAAAUCAGUAAUCUGUUUCAACAUAUUAAUAAUCUGUUGCACCAGAUUAGUAAUCUAUUUCAAUAGAUUAAUAAUCUGUUGCACCAAGUUAGUAAUCUGUUUCAACAGAUAAAUAAUCUGUUGCACCAGAUUAGUUAUCUGUUCCAACAGACAAGUAAUCUUUUGCAACAGAAUAUAUAUUUGUUUCAAAAGAAUAUUUAUCCGUUGCAACAGAUAAUUAUUCUGUUGCAACAUAUGAAUAAUCUGUUUCGAACAAUAAAACACAACUCUUGUCACAAACCCAACAGAUAACUCAACUCAUAUGUUGAUCUCUUGCUAUUGAUACUGGAUUUAAAUUAUCCCUUACUUGUAGACAUGUCAUUUGUUGAGAAAAAAAAAAUAGACAACAUGAAAAUUAAAAAGAAUUAAAACGUCAAAUGAAUCAAACAUAAGUUUUUUAUUAAACAAAAAAAUAAAAAUACACAGGUAAAAGAAAAAAAAAAAGCUCAAUUAUUAUUAUCAUCAUUAUCAUUAUUAUUUGUAUGGCCAGCCGGACAAUCUUCAACUGGCAGCAGCAGCACCCUCCUCAGCCUGCGGAUCUCCCGCAGCAUCCUUACUCUGACGGAGGCUAACUCCCACUGUAGGUCAAGAAUCUAUUUUUUUUAAAUUAUCAUCAUAUCAUUAAUCCAAAUUUGUUGACUUUUUUAUUAUAUAAAUUAAUAAAACAUAUUUAAAAACAAAAAUAUUUUUGGUGAGUUUUUUAUGGUUUAAAUUGUGUUUAUCAUUUAUUUUCUUAUUAUUUUUUGUGAAAAGAAAUGACUUAAUUAAAUCAAGAUGGUGAAUUUUUUAUCAUUGUGACAAGUCAUGACUUUUCAACUUAUUAUUAUUAAUUAGUUCUUAAAUUUAAAUAACCUUUUUCUCAAUUUAAAAAUCGAAGACACCUUUUUAAUAACCGUUUCUUUAAUAAAAUAAUAACCACUUUUAUUGAGUUAUGACAACAGAUUGUAUAUCCGUUGCAUCAAAUAACACAUAUGUUGCAACAGAUAUACCAUUUGUUGCAACAAAUCGACCAUCUAUUUUAGGAGCUUUUUUAUUUUUUCUAACAGCUGAUUCAUCAGUCGCAACAGAUGAGAAAUUUGAUGCAUCAACAACAUUGUUUGUUUGUUUAAUGUGUUUAGAUUAAAAAUCAUGGUCACGACUGUUCACCUUUUUCUUAACAAACAAUCAUCAUAUAACUUAAUUAAUCCAAUGUUAUGACUUUUUUUAAAAUUAAAUAAUCUUUAUUUUAUGGUUAUAAAUUGUGUAUACCAUUUAGUUCUUUAUUAUUUAUUUACGAAUCGUUUUUAGGAGAAUCAUGACUUUUCACCACCCUCAAAAUAAUAACCUUUUUUAAUUAAUAACCGCCUGUUGCAAUAUAUGAUCCAUCUGCCGCAUUAGCUUAAACUCUGUUGCCACAAAUGCUCAAUCCUUACCUCCAACCGUUGACAUGUUGAGAAUAAAGAAUAAAUAGAAUAAUAAUUAAAUAUUAAAUAAGAAUUAAAAAUUCAAAGUCGACCAAAUCAAACCAAACAUACAUAUACAUAGAUUUUUGAAUCCCUUAUAGGUAGAUCCGAUAUAAAAAGGGAAAAUACAUACGCUAAAAGAAAGAAAAAACAUAACCUAAUUAUUAUUACUACUUUUAUUAUUAUCAUUACAAUUAUUAUUAUUAUUACUAUUAUAAUUGUCAACCGGACAAUUUUCAUCCAACAUCAGCAGGGCCCUACUCAACGUUGCUUCGAAAUCGGCCAAAUCCCUCCAGAGUUCAUCAAACUUCCUUUGAAGUUUCUGCAAAGACUUGAUAUGAAUCUUCUUGUACGAAUCUGAAUCAACCAUGUUUGUAUUGUAAGUGUAGUAGAAUGAACGAGUGAGUGAGAGUGAGUAGUGAGUAAGGAAGGAGGCCGGAGGGACCUAUUUAAUAAAUGAUUAAAUUGGAAGGGGUUAGUCAAACAAAAAGCCACGACUAUUCAUAUCUCUUAAUUAAAUAAAACUGGUGACCUUUCGAAUAUGUAAAUUUUUAAAAAAAUGGAUCUAAAUACAACAUUUUAUCUUUUAUUGUAUUUCGAAAAGAAAAGAAAAUUACUUUAAAAUAAAUCUAAUAGAUGGAUAAUCUGUUGCAAAAUAUAUUCCAUCUGUCAGAUAACUUACAACAUAUUGACAUUCUGUUAUAACAGAUGGAUAUAUCUAUUUGCUUUUCCAACAAAUGUGGCAUCUGUUGCAACUAGCUAUUCAUCUGUUUAUUCAAUUUAAGAAAUAGAUGGGCUAGGAAGAAUAAAGUGUGUGCAGAUGGAUCCACUAUCAUAUGUGUAGGAGUUAAGUAAGUAUUACUAAUAAGGUCAUCGGGAUAACACACACAAAGUACAAUGUUACCUAUUAGGCACUGAUCAUUCAAACAAGAUCUUACAUUGUACAGUUAAGUUUGAUGGGUUCGAAUUGACAAGGCUGAGGGCCCCAUGAAGAUGGUGUAGAUACCCUAUUACGAAUUGCUGACGGUUGUUGCUCGUGUUUAUGCGUGUCAAGUUUUGAGAAGGGAUCAAUAUUUGGUGUCAUUGCAGAGAACCAAUAGAGAUUGGACUUAACUUUAAAUGUGUAUUGGACUCCGAAAACCCCUUCGAAGCCUCACACUGCAAAAAAAAAAGAAUGAAAAACAAAUAGAAAUUCUCCUAGCCUAAAUUUAUAUAUUUGGGUUGCUCAGGGUGAUGAUUAUACGCCAGAAGGUACGGUAGGAGAAUGCCUUCGAGGGAAAAUGGAUGGUUGAUGAAAGAAUAUAUCAUCUGAGAGCUAAUUGAAGAAGAGACAUAGGGUAGAAAGUGACUUCUAGUGAAUCUGGCCGAUGGAAUUAUCUUAAAACAUGAGAAAUCUAAAUCAAGUGCAAAUAUAAAAGUGUAUCCGAUAAUGUAAAUUCAUUUGUUAUCUCUCUGAAAGAAAAAUAAUACAAAUGGACACUUUGCUAGGGAGCUGCGACUAGGUAGUGGGGUCAGGAUUAUCACCUAGAUAGAAAAUAGUAGAAGACCAAGAAAGACACCUUACGGGCAUCGAGGGUUGAAAUGAUGUACAGUAAGUCUAGAAAACUUUCACCAACAAAAACUGUAAUUAAAGUAAGGAAUCCAAGCGAAGGAGACAAUUUCUAAAUUUUAAAUUGCAUCCCAUGCCUUCUUGUUUGUGGUUUCAAUUAGGUCCACUGCUAUUGUCCUAAUCGGAACCAAAAAUGAGAUUGAAAGACAAUUGUGUAUCAUUAUUUCCUUAGCAAUAUGGAUUAAUUGAUUAUGUUUUCUUGCCUUAGCAUGCUUUCAACAUUUCUUAGAGAAGAUCAGAGGCUUGUUCUAGUAUGUAAAUCCUGAUAAUUUUCAAGCUUGCCUCCAGCUUGCAGAUUCUGUAAUCAAGCUGGCCGUUGUCAUCUUUAAAGUUGGUAUAGAGUUCUUGGUCUCUUGUGAGUUCGAUUAGAAACACUACUUCAAAGGUGUGGCAUUAAAGAAGACCUUCAAAACACUUUCUUUAGAAGCAUUAAAGGAUACAUGGAGGGCCGCUGUGUUUGUUUUAGGUCAAAAUGUAUUGAUGCACAGUCAAGAUGUGGUCCCAACCAUUGAAUAAAUCACUUUUAUCAAGUGUUGCUCACUGUAGCUUACUCAACCACCCUUCAAAGGAUUUGAUAAAUUAAUCAGCAAGGAGUUACGUAACGUUUGAUCUAAACUGACUCUACCAAGCCUAUCAAACGUUAUGUAACUCCAGGCUCAUUACCCCAUCAAAAGACUUUGCCCGAGUUAGUGCACAAAUCAAAUGAGCUCAAUCUCUCAACCUUUCUGCUGAUCGCUCUUCUCUAAUUAUAAAUGACAAGAUAUCCACCAUGCAAAAGUCUACACCAUCAGCAGAAAUGUUUUCCACAACGAAAGGUCUUCUGAAGGCAUCAUUAGUAAUCUCUCAAUACCAAGUGAUAUUGAGAGAUUACUAGUCAUGCCUUCUCAAGACUUUCGCUCUGGCAAGAAUCUCUGUUGAUGACUAGAUAUCUGCCAUGCAAAAGUCUACACCAUCAGCAGAAAUGCUUGCCACAACGAAAGUCAUCAGAAGUCAUGACUAGUAAUCUCUCAAUACCAAGGAAGUCCUGUACGAAAGUUUUCAAAAGACAUUCAAAAAUAAGAAAGUUUUCAGCAAUGACUACACAUAAUUACGACAUCAACAACAUCACCAGAUUCACUCCUAGCUCAAAAGAAAAGGUGAAAUAUUUUCAUUUGCAUUCCUAGUUCAAAUGCAAAUGGAGAUAUUUCUGCCUUUUCUUUUGAACUAGUAGUGAAUCUGGUGAGGCUAUUGAUUGUAAUUAUAUGUAGUCAUUGCUGAAAACUUCCUUAUUUUUGAAUGUCUUUUGAAGACUUUUGUACAAGACUUCCUUGAUGUUGAGAGAUUACUAAUAAUACCUUCUGAAGACUUUCGCUCUGGCAAAAAUUUCUGCUGAUGAUGUAGACUUUUGCCUGGCAGAUAUCUUGUCAUUAGUAGAAAUUCUUACCACAACAAAAGUCUUGGGAAAGCAUGACUAAGAAUAUCUCAAUAUCACUUGAUAUUAAGAAAUUACUGUUGAUGCCUUCAAAAGACCUUUCGUUGUGGCUAGCAUUUCUGCUGACGGUGUAGAUUUUUGCAAUGGUGGAUAUCUUAUCAUCUAUAUUGGAGAAGAGCAAUCAGCAGAAAGGUUGAGAGAUUGAGCUCAUUUGAUUUGUGCACUAACUCGGCAAAUUUUUUUGAUAGGGUAAUGUGCCUGGAGUUACGUAACGUUUGAUAGGCUUGGUAGAGUCGGUUUAGAUCAAAAGUUAUGUAACUCCUUGCUUAUUAAUUUAUCAAAUUCCUUAAAGGUUGGUUGAGCAAGAUGCAUUAAGCAACGCUCAAUAAAAGUGAGCUAUUCAACAGUUGGAAUCACAUCUUGACUGUGCAUCGACACAUUAUGACCUAAAAAUAUACACAGCCACCAUACAUGUAUCCUUUAAGGCUUCUAAAGAAAGUGUUCUGAGCGACAACUUCGAAGAUGAUGUUCCUGAUCAAGCUCACAAAAUAUCUGGAAAUCUAUACGAAAUUCAAAGACGGCAACAACUAGCUUGAAUACAGAAUCAGCAAGCUGGAGGCAAACUUGAAAAUUAUCAAAAUUCACAUACUAGAGCAAAACUCUGAUCUUCUCUAAGAUAUGUUGAAAGCAUGAUAAGGCGAUAAAACACAAUCAAUUAUAACCAUAUUACUAAGGAAGUAAUAAUACUUAAUUUGCCUUUCAAUCUUAUUUGUGGUUCUAUUCAGGUCAACAGUAGUGGGCCUAAUUAGAACCACAAACAAGAAGACAUGAGAUACAAUUUAAAAUUCAGAAAUUACCGUCUUCGCUUACAUUCCUUACUUUAAAUGCAGUUGCUGUUGGCGGAAGUUUUCUAGACUUAUUGUACAAUAUUUCAACCCUCGAUUCCCUUAAGGCGACUUUCUUGGUCUUCUGCUAUUUUAGGUGAUAAUCUAGACCAUGCUACCUAGUCACAGCUUCCUAUCAAAGUGACCAUCUGCACUAUUUUUCUCUUAGAAAAACAACAGAUGGAUUUUUCAUUACCGGAUACACUUUUAUAUUUGCACUUGAUACAAAUUUCUCAUGUUUUAAGAUAAUUUCAUCGGCCAGAUUUGGUAGAAAUUACUUUCUACCCUGUGUCUAUUCUUCAAUUAGCUCUCAGAUGAUAUAGUCUUUCAUCAACCACCUAUUUUCCCUCGAAGGCAUUCUUCUACCGUACCUUCUGGCGUAUAGUCAUCACCCCGAGCAAUCCAACCAUAUAAAUAUGGGCUAGGGCAAUAACUAUAUUGGUUUUCCAUUCUUGUUAGAUGCAGUGCUAGGCUUCGAAGGCCUUCUCAAAGUCCAAUACACCCUAAAAAUUAGUCCAAUCGCUAUUGAAUCUCUUUAUAAUGACACCAAAACUAGAUCCCUUUACAAUUCUUGCCAAAUAACAUGAGCAACAACCGACAUUAAAUCUUAAUAGGGUAUCAGAACCAUAUUCAUGGUCCCUCAGCCUUAUCAGUUCGGACCUACCACACUUAACUGUAAAAUUACAAAUAUCUUGUUUGAAUGAUCUAUGACUAAUCGAUAAAAAAAACAUUUACAAAAUCAGUGUACUCUAUGUGUGUUUUCACGAUAACAUUAUUAGUAAUACAUACCUCCAACAUAUGAAGUUGUUCCAUCUGCAUGCAGCUUAUUCCUCUAAACCCAUCUUUACUGCAACCUCUUGUGAUGGUCGGACAAAAGUUGAUCAAAUUUUAAUUUCUUAUAUCUACAAAAAAGAGGAAAAAAAUUAAUGACACAGAAAAGAACAUUAUCCAUCUGUUGUAACAGAUAUAGAGUUUUUUGUAUUAGAUAUGGAGUCUGUUGCAUCAUAUAUAGAGUCUGUUGCAUCAGAUGUGGAUUUUGUUGCAACAGAUGUAGAGUCUGAUACAACAGAUAUGUUGUCUGUUGCAAUAGAUAUGGAGUCUAUUGGAAUAUAUCAAAUCAGCCUUGCUGGUGGUUUGAUUUGUUCCAACAGUUCAACAACAGCAUAAACUACAAAGAAACAACAAAUAAAAAACAUCAAUAACAAAGAAACAAUAUUUGUUCCAACACCAUCAAGAAUAUCAUCAACAACAAAGAAGCAACAUUCUUUGUUCCAACACCAUCAACAAUACCACACCACAAGUUCCAACAACGCCAGCCCGACUAACAACAUCAAUAAUAGCAUAAACAACAAAGAAAAAAAUAAAAUACAUACAAAAAAAAUGAUAUUGCAACACUUAAAAGUUUCUUCAAAUUUUUUAAAUAAAUAUGAUAUGGGUAAAUGAUAAUUAAAUAAAAAAAUAGAUAUAAAUAACUUACAAAGAAGAAGAUGAGAAUGAAAGAGCAAUAGUGAAUCAUACCUUAAUGUCAAAAGGGAAUCAAAACAACAAUUUCAGUCGAGGAAAGAUAUGGAUCGAUUUAGAUCCAAAAGGAUCUUUAUGAGAAAGAGAAGAGAAAAGAGAGAAAAAAGGUCGUGAUAACCCUAACCUAAAGAGGGGAGAAAGAAAAGUAUGAGAGAUAAACAAAAUAAAUUUAGGGUUGAGGCUGAGGAAUGAGAUGAGAUAAUUUUAGAUGUAUUGUGUACGUAGACGUGGGUUUUUUAGUAUUCAUUAAUUAAUAUAAUUAAUAUUCAUUAAUAAUUUGAGGGGCACGAGGAAGACUAGUGACAUUGAAAAGACAAGAUAAGACUACUCAAUGAACUCAUUUCUGAGUUAUCCAAGAAAAAAACUCUUCAUUUUUAUCGCGUUUUGUAGUACUUACUACUUUAUCUACUCGGACAGAAAGCUUUAAAAUUGAAAAAAAAAAGAUUUUCAAAUAGAUAUUUCAUCUGUUGCAAUAGAUAGAAAUAUUUGUUUAAAAAUUCCAACAGUACAGUCAUCUAUUACAAUAGAUACAAAUAUUUGUUUAAAAUUCCCAAUAACUCACAGAUGUAAAUUUCCAUUUGAUAAUUAAAUUAGAUAUGUCAUCUGUUACAACAAAUAUCAAUAUCUAUUUGAAAAUUUCCAACAGCUCAGUCAUCUGUCACAACAGAUGUAAAUAUCUAUUUGAUAAUUAAAUCAGAUAUCUUAUCUGCUGCAACAAAUACAAAUAUCUGUUAGAAAUUUCCAAUAGCUCAGUCGUUUGUUCCAACAGAUUUUAUUUCAAUUGAUUUAGGUGGAACUAGGGAUGAAUGAAUGAGUUCAUAGGGUCAACUACAACUUCAAUUAUGUCUUUACAAUUGGUGUUGGUAUUGCGUUCAUCUCGAUCCGAGUCGUCAAUCGAUCACUCUGAGUUGAAAUAAGCUCUCAUUAACAUUAAAUUAAUGCUACGAUUAAUAGUACCUAAAUUGAUUUAGGUGAAACUAGGGAUGAAUGAAUGAGUCCAUAGGAUCAACUGUAACUUCAAUUGAGUCUUUACAAUUAGUGUUGGUAUUGCGUUCAUCCCGACUCGAGUCAUCGAUCGAUCACUCUGAGUUGAAAUGAGCUCUCAUUAACAUUAACUCGAUGUUACGAUUAAUAGUACCUAAAUUGAUUUAGGUGGAACUAGGGAUGAAUGAAUGAGUUCAUAGGGUCAACUAUAACAUCAAUUGAGUCUUUGCAAUUAGUGUUGGUAUUACGUUCAUCCCGACCUGAGUUAUUGAUCGAUCACUCUGAGUUGAAAUGAGCUCUCAUUAGCAUUAAAUUAAUGUUAAGAUUAAUAGUACCUAAAUUUAUUUAGGUGAAACUAGGGAUGAAUGAAUGAGUUCAUAGGGUCAACUACAACUUCAAUUGAGUCUUUGCAAAUGGUGUUGGUAUUACGUUCAUCCCGACCCAAGUCGUCAAUCGAUCACUCUGAGUUGAAAUGAGAUCUCAUUAAUAUUAACUUAAUGUUAAGAUUAAUAGUACCUAAAUUGAUAUAGGUGGAACUAGGUAUGAAUGAAUGAGUUCAUAGGGUCAACUAGAACUUCAAUUGAGUCUUUGCAAUUAAUGUUGGUAGUACAUUUAUCCCUACCCAAGUCAUCGAUCGAUCACUUCGAGUUAAAAUGAGCUCCCAUUAACAUUAAAUUAAUGUUAAGAUUAAUAGAACCUAAAUUGAUUUAGGUAGAACUAGGAAUAAAUGAAUGAGUUCGUAGGGUCAACUACAAAUUCACUUAAGUCUUUGCAAUUGGUUUUGGUAUUGCGUUCAUCCCUACCCAAGUCAUCGAUCGAUCACUGUGAGUUGAAAUGACCUCUCAUUAACAUUAAAUUAAUGAUAAGAUUAAUAGCACCUAAAUUGAUUUAGGUGGAACUAGGGAUGAAUGAAUGAGUUCAUAGGGUCAACUACAACUUUAAUUGAGUCUUUGCAAUUGGUGUUGGUAUUGAGUUCAUCCCAACUCGAGUCGUCGAUCAAUCACUCUAAGUUGAAAUGAGCUUUCAUUAACAUUAACUUAAUGUUAAGAUUAAUAGUACCUAAAAUUGAUUUAGGUGGAACUAGGAUGAAUGAAUGAGUUCAUAGGGUCAACUACAACUUCAAUUAAGUCUUUGUAAUUGGUGUUGGUAUUGCGUUUAUCCCGACCCGAGUCGUCGAUCGAUCACUCUGAGUUGAAAUGAGCUCUCAUUAACUUAAUAUUUUAAAAACUAGUAUAUCUUUUGAAAUUUUAAAAAUUAAUUAAGAUCAAUUCAGACCAAAUUAAUAAAUUCAAAACUUGUCAUUCUUUUCUAAAAUUACAAAUCAACCCAUACAAAUUAUCUAUUUGCGGGAAAAACUUUCUUUAUUUUAAAUAUCAAGUUUUCGCUCCUCUCUCUCUCUCUCUCUCUCUCUCUCUCUCAACAUUACAGACAACAACUACUCAACAUAUUGCUCAAACCUUCAAAACAGAUCAAUUUUCUUUCCAUUUUCAACCACGUAGUCAUUAUUUUUGACUUCAUUAUCGCUUGUAUCCGUCGUUUUCUCUGUCUUUUUAGUUAACAGAGUUUGAGAAGAGUUCUACAUUUGUUCUUUAUUGUAUAAAUAAGGGUUUUUUAGUUAAUGAUGAAAAAGAAGACUUUUUAGUUGUAUUAUCUUCGAGAAUGAGUUAACAAUUUUGGGUUUUGAUGCUAAAAAAUGUAGUAAGCACCCGAGAAAAUUCUAGUUUUUGUCUCAGUGUUUGGUUACUAUUGUGGUAUUAUUCGAUGGUGUUUUUGGUGUUGUUGUUGGUGUCGGUAUUUAUAUUUUUAGUGGUGGUGUCGGUGGUCUUGGUGGCAUUGGUGGUGGUCUUGGUGGAAUUGGUGGUGGCAUUGGUUGUGGUGUUGGUGGUCUAUCUAUUGGAACAGGUGGGAUAUCUGUUGGGAGAUAUUAAAUAGGUCUUCAAACAAAUUUUCCAUCUGUUCCAACUGAUGGGUUAUCCGUUGGAGUAUUUUUUUUGUAAUGUGGCGUAGAAUAAUUUAUUAAAAUUUGCCUUACCUUUUUUUUAAAUUAUGCAGACAUCAAAUGUAAUGUAUUUUUUAUUUUUCUAUUGUUUGUAGUUAAAAGAUGUCUCCCAAAAGAAAAGAAACUAAAAGUGGAGCAACUUCUGACCACCCAAUAAAAAUGGCUAGAGUACAGAUAGAUUCGGAGGAACUUCCUGAACAAUCUCAGUCGGGGCAAAAUAAAGCCGAGGAAAGUGAUAAAUCCUUCUCACCAAUAGGGCAUGAAAUAAUAUCAAAAUCCUAGCAUGAUUCUAUCAAAACCAUUAGUAUCAACAGGUUUCGAGUUGCGAUGCCGAUGGAUAGCCCUGACAAAGUAACUGGUGAUCUUGUACUUACAUGUAAGUUGGGGAAAGUUUUGAUGAAUUAAGGAGAAUUAUGAAGAAUAAAAACAUAGGUGGACUUUUUAACAAGAGCUGCUUUGCAUACUUUCUUGAGUAUCCUGAGGACUGUACUCUCUAUUUUCCAAUGAGCAUGGUAUAUGGUCUUCUCAAGCGUAGGAUCAAGUACGUGGGGGAUGAUAAAGAUUCGAAGGACGGAGAAAAAAGAUGGAUGAAAUUUCAAUCAACUACUGUGGCAUGCCGGUUUAUUUUGGGUUAAAAGAGUUUGCGAAAGUGAUGGGCUUGAGAUGCGAUCUUCUAGAAGAAUAUCUCAUUAAGGAAACACCCCACAAAGGGUCCAAUAAAUGCAAAGAAAAAAAGAUGGGUUGUUGGGCAUUAUUGGAUGUAGUAUCUACAAAGCGGAGGAUUUGAUGACAGAUCUCGAGGAUAAAGACAUACCAAAGUACUGUAGGGAGAAAUUGUGCUUAUUUUGGUUUGUCCAUUCCCUUUUAUUGGCAAGAGAUGUCAGGAAAGUCAUAGAAGAUAAUUUGUUGGCGCUUGCUAGUGAUUUUGAUAAAUUUCACGAUUAUCCCUGGGGAUAUGACAACUUCUACUUGACUGUUGAAUAGUUACUAAUAAAGCUAUUUCCAAAGACGAUCACAUUAUAUGGCUUUCCUCAGGCUUUCAUCGUAAAAUUGAUCACUAUUUUUACUCAUCCAUUAAUUUAUAAUGAAUAUAGUUAUUAUGAAUUUUUUUGCUUGCUUCCUAUUUACAUUUUUUAGGCUUGGGUAUGUGAAGCCAUUCUUCCCCUCCAAAAGCGGUGCAAGGAUAACCCGAAUGAGAUUUCUCAUCCAAGGAUCCUUAAGUGGUUGGCGGUUACAAAGGCAGCAAAAAAUAUAUUAAGGAGCAGGAGGCUGAUAUAAUUAACCCUUUGGAUGAUGUAGUAAAUCUUCUUUCAACUAAAAUAAUUUGCCUCAAGGAAAGAUAUUAAAACAGAUAUUCCAUCUGUUGUGAUAGAAGGGUCGUCUGUUGCAACAAAUUACCCGUCAACUACAACUGGUGCAAUAAAUGGGUAAUCUGUUGCGAUAGAAAAUUCAUAUUUCAUAACAGAUUAAUAAUCUGUUACUCUAGUUCUUUGAACUCGACUCAAUAGAUUACCCAUCUACUGCAAAUUAUGCAAUAGAUAUGUAAUCUGAUGCAACAUAUUGUUAAUUUGUUGCAACAUACAGAUCAGCUGUUGCGGCAACUAGAUCGUCUGUUAUAUAAGUUGGUUGUGUUAACAUCCAUGCAACCUAAUUAACUGCAAAUUAUUAUUAUAUGAUUUAAAUGCCUCCUGUCUUUUUUUAUAGGUUGUGUAUCCUUGGAUCGUGCCUACCAUUGAUGAGUUAGGGAUGACUUCUUUUCUUACCCAGGUCUUGUUAAUAUAAAAGAAGACCCAAUGGUGGAGUUAAUAAAUAAGGAAUUGGCUAGAGCAACAUCCAUAAGAAGAGCAGUUAGGCAAGUUCAGCCUUAUGUUGAAGCUCUUCACGACCAACCUCAAACUGUAACAAAUCCGGGUGCUUCUUCUAGGUGUGUUGAUGGUGGAGUUGUUGGUGAUGGUGGUAGCUAUCCUGAUACUGCUGCUACUACCAGUCGUGAUUAUGAGCAUUUUGAUGCUCAGAAAAAAAUAAAUACGUUUGAAAACAUCCCUUGCACAGGUUCCUCUCUCCACUACAUCGGUCCCUCCUACACUUACAGUAGUCUCUCUCACCCCUCUUCACCCUCAUAUUCUUAUUACAAAUGCAAAGUAUGCAAUGACAAAGACGAUAAACUCCUUAAAAAUCUAGAGGCUAUUGCUGAAGCUACCGAGGAGUUGAAAUCUAGGAGGGGUGUCAUACCAUCUAAAAAGGUGAUGAAACCAUGCAUUCAUUUUCCGCCAAAUACUUCACGAAUAAUUCUUGGAAAAAAUCAAGAAUAGCAAGAUGAAGGUUCGGAAAGAAUACACCAUGCAUUCAUUUGCCGCCAAAUACUUCACGAAUAUGACAAAUAUGCGUGAGUGUUACGAGGAUAAUGUAAGUUUACUUUUGCUAACCUUGCCUUCCAAUCUACUCCAUGAAGAAGAAUCUACGCAGCAGAUGUGUAAUCUAUUGCAAUAGAUUGGUAUUCUAUUGCAACAUAAUACACAUCUAUUGUAUAAGUUGCGUUAGCUGGGUAAUCUAUGAACUAAUUCAGAUAACUCUCUGCAAUAGAUUCUUUCCACUGUAUUUUUAUUCUUUACAAUUACUAACCUAUUUAAAAAUUAUAUUCUUAUACCACAGUAUAUUGAUGAAAUUCUCUACCUCAUGAGGGGCAGACAAUUAGUGUACCCGGAUGCUUAUGAUGUUGCCGAUAGGAUAAUGGACCUCAACUUCUACAAUAAUUUCAAAGAUAGGUACGAUGAUCUCUGUAAGCUAGCUGAUUCUGGUAGCCCGAGAUUUGAUAAAUUAGUUUCUACAUUCCAAUGGGAUGAAGAAGUGAUUAAAUAUGUUAGAGAAAAGAUGCCAUAUCCACACGGCCAGAGAAUCCUUGCGGUCAUGAACGUGGAAGUCAAAUAUUUUCUCACUGUUGAGAUACUAGUCUAUGAGAAAAAGAUUAAGGUUUAUGACUGCAACUUACCUUCCUUCAGCGAGGACACAUUGUUAGCCCACAUGCAUCCACUCUUGAAGUUGUUGCCGAAGUUGUUGACGCAGAGUAAGAUGAUGGAUCUUUUGCCGACGAAAGUCUUGAGAAAGGAAUCAUGGGUUUUUGAAGGUCGAAAUAAGAACAUCCAUCUCAAAAUAAAUAGAACCGAUACAGCAUGCGGGCUUUACUCGCUUGCAUACAUCGAGUAUUUGCUGAUCAACAGAGAAAUGACCGAUAUAUUCGACACCGUUGUGGGAAAGAUGAAAUAGUUUUGGGCUUAUGGGGUACUUACUAAAUGGUUGGAGCCCAUGAAUAAAAAAUAUGUACAAAGACAAAAACGAACACGAUAAUAAUUUUUCAUUUCAAGCCACUUCACUUUACAUUUAGUGGCAAUAAUUUUUAUGUCUGGCCAAGUUAAAUUUUUAUAAUGCAAUAGAUUUUAUAUAUGCUUUAACCGAUAUAAUACCUGUUAUGAAAAAUUGAUUAUCUGUUGGAAUAGGUUGGUCAUCUGUUGCAUUAUGCAGAUGUUUCUCUAGUCUGUCUGUCGCAACAGAUAUACAAUCUGUUGCAACAUAUAAUAUAUCUGCUGCAAUUGAUAGGUAAUCUAUUGGAACAAAUCAAGAAAGUAGGAAGACCUUCUAUAUAGUGUCCAGUAGAUGACCUAACUAAAUGGUUGGAGCCCGCGUAUAAAGAAGAAUAUGUACAAAGACAGAGACGAACAUGAUAAUAAUUUUUUAUUUCAAGUCAUCUCAAUUUACAUAUAGUGGCAAUAAUUUUAUGUCUGCGGAUAGUUGAAUUUUUAUAAUGCAGCAGAUAGUAUAUCUAUUUUAACAUAUAUAGUACCUGUUGUGAUAGAUUGAUUAUCUGUUGGAAUAGGUUGGUCAUUUGUUGCAUUAAUAGAUGUUUCCCAGUCUGUCUCUCAUAACAGAUAUCUAAUCUAUUGGAACAUAUAAUCUAUCUGUUGCAACUAAUAGGUAAUCUGUUGAAAAAAAUCAAGAAAGUAGGAAGACCUGUUAUAUAGUUUCCAGCAGAUGACCUACAUGUUUCAACAUAUGUCUACAUUUGUUUGAUAAGAUAUGUCGUCUAUUACAGCAGAUGUAUUAUCUAUUGCGAUAUUUGAAUCUAGUAUUCCAUUUCAAUUAAGAUGUUCAAAACUAAGGAUUAAAUUAUAUUCAUAGACAACAUAAAAUAAGUUGAAGCCUUCGGAAAUUAUACGAAAUAACUCAACAAAUAAAUGAAAUAUAAAAAAAUCAUUAUGGUUACAAAUGAUAUAUACUCUACAAAUAAAUCAACAACUUAAAUCAAGAAGGAUAGGUUAUUACUUGACGAACUCAAGCUAUAAAUAUCUACUCAAUAUGGACUAGUUGUUCUCCAUCUGGUGUUGUGGAAUUCAGCUUUGGUUGUCAUGGAUCUUUAAUGUCGCUUGCGUAUGGCUUUUGAGCUUUUGCUUCUCCGUAUUUUCAUAAAAGAGAAGUAUAUCUUUUGUGGAGUAAUUUGACAUCAAGUCCAUCAUUUGGUACCUUUAAUCCAUCGCUCAAAUACUCAGCGUACGUGGCAACAAAAAGAUCUCAAUCCCUGUGUUGUAAAAAAUAGAUAAUCCAUAUCUUGCAGUUCAUGCAAGCAUUGUGAAAUUUGUGAAAUAAAACGAAAUCAUGACACUUAAACUUACAGGCUACCAAUGAUUUGUUGAGAAAUUCCUUCAACAUAUUGUACAUCAAAUGGAUUCCCCAUUUAUCCCGGUAUGCUUCAUUCGUCGAUCAAUCAUUUCAAACCUUUUGGUCUAAAAAGCCACUCAUAUCAAGGUAAGUAGGCAAUAUUUUGGCAAGCUUUUGUAUCUCAAAUGACGGCCCAGAACUUCUACUUCACGAUAUUGAGUAAUAAACUUGGAUGUGCUUCUCUUUUAGAACGACGACAGCUAACACUUAAUGGAAUUCAUCACCACAAUUGAUUUGGAUGUACACUUCGUUGACCAAAUGCCAAGGUAAGCUAGCCGAAAUGCUAAAACCUUUGAUGAUGUUGAUUAAGCAUUCCUCAUUUUGGAAAAUUUUUGGUUGUUGUUGACAAUACCUAUCGUAGGCAUUAUUGAUAUAAACUUUGUACAAAUAAUUGUCUAUCGUAUAUCUAUAUUGUUCUUGUGUUUUCAACUUGGCCUUUUUCAGAGGUAGUAAAAAAUGACAUCGAUGUGCUGCACCUAUUAUCAAAUAUUUCAAAUUACGUGAUCAAAAAAUUAAUACGCAGAUGUAAUUAAAUAAAGUAUUAAUUAAUAGUAAUAUGUAUCGCAUUUAAACCUCAUCAUUCCAGUAAGUUUGGGGCUAUGACAUCAAAUAGAACCAAUUCUUCAUUUCGAGAUUACAAAAACAAAGUCGAACAUAUCAAAACCAAGACUCGAUUCGUUCACUUUGUAGUGUUUGUCAUUUUGUUUUCUACAUGAUGAUUUAUAUGUUUUAAUGUCAUGUUCUUACAAUAAGAAUUGUAUAAACCAAUAUCUUUAAAAUUAGUUUAUGUACCUGCUGGCAUAAUGCUUUAACAGACCAUCGACAAUCUAUUCCGAAUAUUUGUUGAUCAACUGUGUUAGUUUUUUUGGAGCCUCAUUCGAGAUAUUGAACCCUUCAAAUGGGUAAUUCUUUUGUUCUUUCAAACUGACAGGCUCCAAUUUUUCUUCUUGUUUGGAAGUAGUUGAUGAAUUAUUAACUGUGAUAUUAUGCUCUUCAGCAGUAGCUUUUAUUGUGACAUCUACCUGCAAAGCUAGAAAUUUAUCAAUCCUAAUUAUAGAUAUACAAUAAAUUAUCCAUCUGUUGCAACAGGUGAGUUUUAUAUUGCAAUAGAUGGAUCAUCUAUUGGGAUAAAUUCAAACAAGUAAAUCAGAGUAGUACGAUAAUUUCGAACAGAUGACCCAUCUGUUACAAUAUAAGACUCAUCUAUUGCAACAGAUAACGUAUCUGAUGUAACAGGUUAGACAACAGUUGCAAUAGAUAUAUAUAUCUAUUUGAUAAUUUUCAGUAGAUGUAUCAUCUGUUGAAAUAGAUAUGUGCCUAUUCUUUUAUUGGAACAGGUGAUGUACAUUCACCUUCUUCAGCUCAUGUGUCUCUCUUGUAGUCCUUGAAUACUGAACAAUAGUGCAAAACAAAGACAGAGGUAUUGCAAUUUUGCUUUUUUUAUGCUUGAUGAUGCCUUGGAAAUCUCUUUCCUUCUCCUCUUAGCCACCUUGUUCUCUAGUGAAGUGUAUAGCUAUGAAAUCCUCUUUGAUGGAAUGACACCUCUCUUAGAUGCCAUUUCCUUUACAGAAGAAGUUAGUGCAUUAAUAGCAUUAAUCACUCCAUCGUGUUUCACCUUGCAGUCUUGACAUUUGCAUGCAGAACAUUUGCUAGAUGUGGCAAAAUCUGGUGAAAAAUCUAUACAACCAGUAUGAUCAUAAUCAUAAUGACUUAUUGCUUUAAAAACUAUAAGAGGAGCAUCAUUAGCCCCAACAGCAGCACCACUACCACUACCAUCAUCAACAGCAACAAUCCCAUACUCCAAAAUUAUUUUUCUUCUGAUGGUUGUUGCUCCAAACAAUUCCAUUUUAUUCUAUUAAUGACCUUAAGGUCCGAUAAAGUUUGCAUAGACCGUAAAGUAAGAAAAAAUGACAUCUUCAACUCUCGGUUGGUCAGAACAAGCCAUGGAUGGACAAUCUAAAAUAAAUCAGUACAUAUAUUAAAAUAAUGAUGAAAUCAUUUAAAAUAAUCAUUAAUUAAAAUAAAAACUUGAUUAGAAUUGGAUUUGCUACUUCCUUCGGGGGGUUGAAAAGAUCAAGAAAUUUUGUGUUUUUAUCAGUUUUGUUUGACAACCAUCUCAGAAUUCUUGGACAGGAAGCUUCUUCCUAGUAGUUCAUUUGUUGUCUCAAAUAAGGUAUGACUUCAAAUGCUCAAGCCUAUAACAUAACGCCAAUAAAUCAAAAGCAUUAUUGAAUAAAAAAAUGAUGAAUCAUAUCAUGAUAAAAGAAAUAUUUACCAUGAAGGCCCAUGAAAAGCCAUAUAAGUUGACUGUCUUUGUCGUUAAUAGAGUCAACAAAUAUUGGAUAGUCAUUUUGAAGCUUUCAUAACCCCAAAGAUAGCUGUUAAAUGCCUCAAGAUCCUCAGAGAGAUUUAUUAAACCAACGCUUAUAUUGUUGUUAGUGUCUCUCGCCCAAAGAAUAUUAUGUACAAACCAAACCAAGCACAAUAAUUACUUAUGCUUCUUUAAGAGUCUUUUACCUUUCAAUGCUUCUAUCAAAUUUUUAUUUUUGAAGCUUGGACCAACAAUCAACACGAGGUCAUCAUGAUCACUCGACUUGCCUUUGCCUUUUUUGGGUGUGCGGGGUGAUUUUUUUUGGUCAAAGUAGGUAUAACUUGAGAAGGAGAAGGAGAAUAACAUUUUAGUCCGGUAACUAUGGAAAACUCCUUCCAAUACAAAAAACAGGCAUGCCACAAUAAUUUAUUCAUACCUCAUCCAUCUUAUCUUUAUUUUCAUACAUAAACCUAUGCUUGAGAAGAUCUUAUACAACUUUUAUCUGGAAACGAGUAUUGUUGUCCUCCGGCAAAUUAAGAUAUUGCCAAAGUAGCUUUCCCUGAAAUAAGCAUCCAAUUUUUUUUCUUGAAGUAUUUUUCUGAAGGCGUCGAAAGAUUUUCCCAUGGAUUACUUAACCACGAAAUUACCCGUUAAAUCUGUGGCACCAUCACACUGCAUUCUCACAGGAUAAUGAUUAAUGCUGAAGGUUUUGACCAACUCUUCAGCGGAAGGGCUAUUAGCAUUUGGAUCAUCUCUUUUGAGAUAUUUCUCCUCCCCGUGUUCAUUAUCUUCUGCUCCUAAUUGAGAUAACGCUUGUAAAGCAAGCUCAUAGAGUAAUGGAUGUAGCUGAACUGCUACACUUGUUCCUUUACUUGGACUUGAUUCGUUUUUUUUCUUUUGGGAGCCAUAUUAUCUUAAAUUAAUAGGAACAUAAAGUAGAUUACAAUUGAUUAAUGCAUCAUUAAAAAAUGGAUAAUAGUAAAUCUAACAUGCACAACGGUAAAAUAACAGUUCUAACAGACCACACAUCUGUUGCACCAAGUAUGUUAUUUGUUGCAAUAUAUAACCGACCUGUUGCAAUGGAUGAGUAAACCAUUGGAAAUAAUAAAAACAGAUCUCUAAUUUGUUGCACCAAAUAUUUUAUCUGAUGCAACAUAUAACCAACCCGGAUGCAAUGAGUAAAUCAUUGAAAAUAAUAAAAAUGAAUCUCUAAUCUGUUACACCAGGUAUUUUAUCUGAUGCAACAUAUAACCAGCCUGGAUGCAACAGAUGAGUAAACCGCUGGAAAAUAUAAAAAUAGAUCACUAAUCUGUUGUACCAAGUAUGUUAUCUGUUGCAACGUAUAACUGACUUGUUGCAACGGAUGAGUAAAUCAUUAGAAACAAUAAAAAUAGAUCACUAAUCUGUUGCACCAGGUAUUUUAUCUGAUGCAACAUGUAACCAACCGUUGCAAUGGAUGAGUAAAUCGUUGGAAACCAUAAAAAUAGAUUACUAAUCUAUUGCACCAGGUAUUUUAUCUGAUGCAACAUAUAACCAAUCAUUACAAUGGAUGAGUAAACCAUAAGAAUAGAUCACUAAUCUAUUGCACCAGGUAGUUUAUCUAUUGCAACAUAUAACCAACUGUUGCAAUAAAUGAGUAAUCCGUUGGAAACCAUAAAAAUAGAUCACUAAUCGGUUGCAUCAGGUAUGUUAUCUGUUGUAACAUAUAACUCACCUGUUGUAACGGAGGAGUAAAUCAAUGGAGACAAUAAAAAUAGAUCACUGAACUGUUGAAACAUAUCACUCAUCUGUUUCAAAAUGGGUUAUAUGUUGGAUUAAUAUUGUUUAGAUUUCUUCCAAACAGAAGAGUCAUCUGUCGUAAAAGAUGAAUGAUAUGGUAGAUUGUUCAUUUGUUGCAUCAGAUUUUAAUCUGUAGUAUCAGAUAUUUUCAUCUAUUGCAUCAGAUAUCUUCAGCUGUUGCAUCAAAUGUUUCAUCUGUUGCAACACUAUUUUUACUAAGAUAAACAAUAAAUCAAUCCAGCAACACCAACACAUUGCACAUACACACUAAGAACAUCAACUGUGAACACAAAUCACCAACAAAUCCGAAUCAAUAAUACGACAACAAGAAGAAGAAAUACCAAAAAUUACAUUUUUAUUUAGUCCACAUUUCUAUACUAGAAGAGUAGUUGGCUCAAGUUCCUCUGUUUCUUCAUAAUUUUUUACCUGUGAAAAAAGAAAUGGGAUGACGAAGAACUCUAAUUUAUUGUCGUUGGAUUUUUUUUAUGUCGAUUGAUGGUUGAAAGUCAAAAGGGAACUCGCCCGACUAUUUUCCACCAGAGGUUGAAGUCACUGGGGAUUGAAGGGAGAAUUUUGCAGAACUAUUGGUUGGGAGAGAGUUGAGAGAGAGAAGAGAGAGAGGCAGGUUAAUUUGGAUUGAAGAGGGGUGUGGGUUGAUUUGUAUUUUUAAAAAGAUUAGAAAGUUUUGAAAAUAUUAAUCAAAUUCAUAAUUAACUUAAUCAAGUUUCCUAAUGAUGUUUUACCCUUUAAGUUGGUCAAUAUCAUCAAUCCUUCAUUCAAGACUUAAUAGACACCUUUCCUUUAAUUUUCUCAAAUAACUGUGUAGGAUUAAAUUUAAUUGCAGAUACAACCUAGUAAGAUAUAUACGGAUCUAAAGUGUCAGGUGGGGGUCCUCUGCGGAUCUAUAGUGUCGAGUGGGGGCUCUACCGUAGAUCCCAUAAAUAUAUUAAAAAAAAGUCAAUAAAAUUUUAUAGAUGGGAACUCAUACACAAACUGAAGGCUUGCUUGAUGGCGUAGAAGGUACUCUUACAUUGCUUAUGUUACCCCAUAAACAUGGGAUUACAUAGUAUUAUUUUACUAGAAACUCACUAGUUUAAAAUCCUAAAUUCGACUCUGUAAAUAUUGUUUAUGCUAAUACUACAUAUAUUUAUAUAUUUACAUUUAUAGUUAAAUUCAUACAAGGUGCGUAGUGUAAAUUUACAAGGGUGUGCUAAGAAUUCAUUUUAAAAUUAUUGCCGAUGAGUUUCUAAUAGAGGCCGUGUGUGGAAGAUUGCUUAGAGCAUUAAAGACUUGAAGCCUCACGAUUAUGGAUCACACUUAAUGGCUCACAGUUUUUGGAGCAUUGAAGAGCUUUAAAACACUCCAAAACUGCCACUCUACUUAAGAGUGUUUUGUUCAUUUUGUGCCAUUUCCUUACACUCCAUAGGAGUUCCUUUCAUUAAGGGCAUUAGGGUCAUUUUGAAAUAACUAUAAGUAGGCUCUUUAGGGUUCAUUUCAUACUUAGUUGUUUAUUGAUGUAAGACAUGAAAUACUUGUGACACCUAAGACUCUCUCUUUAGAGUGUAUAACCUUAGAGUAGGGCUUGGAAAAGUCAUCCCUACCGUAACUAGGGCUGCCCAAGUCUGGAAUCACUUGAGUUGCAUUUUGGCGUGAGACGUUGGUGCUAGAGGAGAUAAAGUCCCUCUUGUGUCUCCGUAGGAGUUAGGUGAUUGUCUUGUGUAGGUGUUAAGGGUCCUUAAAUUUGAUAUAUCUUAGGGUUCUUAGGAUUUACAUCCUCAUUUGUCUAACCAUCUAUCUAUUUAUCUAUUUCAAAUCGUGUGUUUUGUGUUUGUGUUCUUGUUGCCAUUUGUGCCUAGUUCUAGUGGACUAUUUUGUAACAUUUUUGUGGCUAUUUUGUGACUUUUUUGGUUGAUCUUGUAUCAUUCCAUCCUUCUACCCGCCUUAGCAAGUCUAUCCGCAACUCUAUUUGCCUUCCGUCCCUCAUGGCACACUUACGGUCUCCCCAGCCGCUGAAGAAGAUCCCUACACAAUGUAAUAAGAUUAAUGUUAGUCACAAGAUCAUUAGUGUAGAGUGAAGCUAAAAUAAUGGAAUCAGUGGAAAUAGUCAAUUUGCUGUAAUUUAUAUGCAGUGCUAUAGAUAAGCCAAAAUAGAGUGCAGUAAUUUCAGCUUCAAGUGGUGAAGUUACACUAAUCCUUGCGUGGAAGCCUUUAACACAGUUACCCUUGUUAUCACAAAAUAACCCUCCCAUUCCACCUCUCCUACUCUUAUAAUCAAAGGACCCAUCAACAUUGAGCUUCCAUCCAUCCAAAGGGGGGACCCAACAUUUAAAGCUUGCAGUUUUUGGAAAGCUUUGGUUAAUAACUAGCAUAUGGUAUUCUAGUGCGUGCUUAUAGGAAAGGGUUGUAGGAAUAGAGUUCUUCCUAUUGUUAAAGGAAUUGUCAUUUCUUGUGAGCCAGAUAUUCCAUAGAUAAAAGGAAAGACAUCACUCCAAAUCAUGUAGGUUCCUAUGAGUAUGUUGCUCAUUUUCCAAAUUCUAUCGAUUCGUUCUUUAAGAUAGAGGUCUUUAAAAGUCUCUAUAAUCUCGGUCAUGUUGUUAUUAUGCCAGAACUACAAUGCCAUAGGGUGUAGACACGUGAUUUUUGAUCCUCCUCGAAUUUUAACUUAUUUUUUGAUAUUAAAUAUUUAUAUUUGAUGCGAUAUAAUUUAUUUCUUAUUUUAUUUUAAUAAAUUUGUAGUUGAAAAAUAAAUAACUAAAUAAAGUUAAUUUUGAGAUAUAUUAUCUUUUUAUUUUUAUUUUAAAAAUAAUACAAAAAAUAAGGAAAAUAUUUUUCUUUUUUAAUUUUUAAAUAAAUAAGCUAGUAUUUUUAGUACUAUCUUAAUUAUAUUUAUUUUUGACUAUUUAUAAACUUUUAUUGUAUUUUCUUAAAUAAUAUCCUAUCUGAUGUAACUGUUCCCCCCAAAGUCCUUUUAUUUAAGGACUUCCCUCUACUCAAACAGCCCAGAGAAUUCUACGUACUAUUCUCACCACCUAUACUGUAUUACACUCUCACCACCUAUACUGUAUUACACACAACAAAAAAAAAAGAGCGUGAAAAACUAGAGAGCAAAAACCAAAGAAAGACAAAAGCAUCAAACAAAAGAGAGAAAAGAAGAAAGUCAAAGUUGGAGUUCCGGUCAAAUUUUUGGUGACAAAUUUUAUUGUUCAGUUUAAAACAUUCAGGUUCUUAUUCAACUCUAUAUUUAUUUUUAUAAGUUUUUGUUAUAAAUAAAGUUAUAACAUAUAUUUUUUUUAGUAAUUUCAUGAAUUGUUGUAGGUAAAUUCGAUGUAGUAUCCUGUUUUAUCUAUGUGAUCCUUUAUUCAAGUAUCUUGUGAAUGUUAUUAAUAGUGAAAAAUGAAAUUAAUAGAAUGCAGUAAGCUGUCUGAUUUUUCAUGUGUAUAUAACAAAAACAUUGUAAAAAUUGCUUACACAGUAUUUCACUUUUUCACAGAUGCACACAAAACAUCAACACAUACACAUACUAUUUUUUUAGUGAGCACACAUUCUCACUUUCUCCCUUUCCGGUCAUAAAUAUGUUCUGACACAUUCACACACAACAAAAAGAGAGAAAGAUAGUAUCCAGCGAGUGAAUGAAAGAAUAAAAGAAAAACGGAGGAGAAAUAAUAGAAAAUCAGUAAAAAAGAAUAGAGAGAAAAAGGGAGAAAAACAAAUCUCAAAUCUCAUUAUUCCGGUGAUGUUUUCACCGAACAUGGCAUUCCCUCGCUGGAAAAUGUCACCAACUUUAAACUCCGGUCAAAAUCAGUGACCAACACACCAAAAUAAUCUGAAAUCCAGCUGACUAAGCACAUGUGUCAUUCCAACCAACUCCAAACUGCCGUAAAAUCAACAAAACUAUGCCGCCCCACACUCCUCCCCCAGAUCUGCCGUCAGCGACACCCUCUCCCCUUCCUGUCAGUCGGAAAGACCCCCUUACCCGCCAAAGUAUUGGUCAAACUCACCGGAAGACACAACCAACCACGCCGGCGACCCUCCAUUGACCAGCACAAUCUCGCUGCCUACAAAAUCAUUAAAUCAGUUAACCCCCUUCCUUCUCUCUUUCCAGCCGCUGCCAUCAUCAAUGGCCGACGAUCCGACCUCCACCAUCCCCUUUUCCAUUACCCCACCGGCCAACUCCGGCCAGUGACCAUCUCUAUUUUAAAAAAUGACACUACCAACUCCGGCCAGUGACCAUCUCUGUUUAAAAAAAUGACUCUAUCUCUUUCUGUUAAUAAUAUUAAUUAUCAUGAGAUUUUUAUGCAGACUAUUAAAAUGUUAAUUUUAAAUAUCUUUGGAAAUUUACCUUUUACUUCAUUAGAAAUUAUAUUAAUUUCCUUAUUUGGUAAUGUUUCAUCACUUAUCAACUUGCAAUUAAAAAUACAAUAUUAAUUUAAAUCCUCAUUAUUUUAAAUAAUUAUAUUUCAUUUAGAUUUAAUAUAUCUUUCUUUUCGGGUUGCUUAAUUUUUCUUUCAUGAAUUUAUGUUUAAAUCAGAUUAUUGGAAUUUUUUAUGUUUAAUUUAUCUUAUAAAAUAUGAUUUGAGUUUUGAAUGAAUUUAAAGAGAUUAAAUUUAGGGAUAAUAUUAAAUUUAGUGUAAUAUAGGUAGAUUUAUGAAUUUUAUUUAUUUUAUUAUUAUUUCAACAAAAGUUAAUAAUUAUUUAUUGAUUUAAUUAAUUGUAUUAAAUGAAUUUUGAUUUAAUUUAUCAUUAGGAAUUUAGAAAAAUUUUAGACGCGUUCUAAAAUAUUUGUUUAAAUUAAGAAUGCGGCGUAUGCAUCUUUCUGAGACAUUUUAAAAAUUCAAGAAUGCAAUAAUGCACCUUGAUAAAUAUUUUUCUAAAAUUAAUUCCCACCGAUUUAUUUAACGUAAAAGAAAUAGGUAGCCAACGAUUUUAGGCUUUAACAUAAUUUAUAAAAAAGAAUUUUAGCCAAGAUAAGUCAAUAAAAGGAACCGUUCUAGAACCACGGGACUCAAGGGGUGCCUUACACCUUUUCUUUGGUCAACAAAUUCUUACCCGGUCUUCUGUUUUUGCAAACCAAAAUAAAAGAGUCAUUUCCUUUUGACUAGGGAUUCAAAAGUUGACUUGGAACACCAUAACUCAAUUCCAAGUGGCGACUAUGUAAAUAAACUAACCCUAUUCAAAAUCGUCACUUUAAUUGGAAAAACCCUUCGACUCAACCCUCGACCGAAAAGGGGUGUGACAUCUUUGGCGACUACGCUGGGGAAAUAUAAGAAUUCGAGCUUUUUAUAUUGACUUUUACUUGCUUUAAUUAUUUUUAUAUUGUGUUUGUUGGCCUAAUGUGUUAUUUGUCGCUCAUUUAAUACUUUGAUAAUGUUGAAAUGUAUUAUAAACUAUCUUCUCUCGUGCACCCCCUCUGAGUCUCUAAAAUAGGAUAGAAAGAAUGCAGCGUAUACAUCCUACUUUCUUUGUGAGAUAGCCAGAGAAAGAACCUGGUGAAGGAUUAUAGUCACACAUGUUAGGCGGGGUUCGGAUCGGCAACGAAGGCGGAGUAACACUUCUACCAAACAAGUUGUCUCUCCCCACUUGAGUGUUCGCUUGGGUAAGCCAGUCUAGACACCUAUCCCUUUUAGGCUAAACUUAGAAAAAUUGAAACUCAGAAUCUGGUUAUCUCUAUUAGGUUCCACUUUAUUUGUAUCAUAUGCAUUUGACUUAGCGGGACUCGGCACAGGGGCUGGGCCUGUCUAGGAUAGGUGUCCCUCUUUUGACCAAUAUGUGCAUCUUACGUGCUCUUUGAUGUUUAUUUGAAAGGCCAUUUGAUUAUUGACCGGCUUUUAGACAAUUUGGUGAAAUAUAAAGAGAAGAUUUUGUCCUCAAAUUUAAUAAUAUCCUUUUCAAAGAGAUUAAAAAAUAUACGCAGUCUUUUUUUAAAGGUCUUCAUGAACUACGAGGGUCUGAUUCUCACUCUUUAUUGAGAUACGUAGGAAUCCCUUUUCGGGGUACAUCCUAUCUUUUGAAAAAUUAUUCAUAGAUUUAUUGGAGAAUAUUUUGAAAAUAUGAUUACUUUCAUAAUUAUAUUUCUAAUCCUCAAGUCCAAUUUUUAUCUAUCUUAAUAGCCCUCAAUAUUUAGGGAUCAUGAGGCUAAGUUUUUACAAAAUAAAAUAUAUAUAAAUCUUAACAACCCUGAACCUUUAGGGGUCUUGAGGUUGAGUUAUAUGCGACAUAUAUUUCAAGAACUACGUAUACCUAAUUCUCAUCUUAAUGAGAUAUGUAAGCAGUCCUCAAUGGAUUUGGUGAUCUUAAAAAAUGGUUGUCUUUCCUUAUAACCCCCCCCCCCCUCCUCCCUCCCCCAAAAAAAAUGUUUUCAAAAAUAAAAAAUAUAUUAUUUGUUAAAUUCAAAAAUAAAAAAAAUUAUUUCUCAAUAUUCAAAUAAUUAAAAAAAGGUAUGUUUCUUCAUAUCUCUAAUUUUCACAAACUACGCACACCUGAUUCUCAUCUUAAUAUGAUACAUAGGCAGUCCUCCAUAGAUUCGGUGGUCUUAAAAGAAAAUUUUUUUAACUCUGACACAUUAGUUUUCUCCAAAAUUAAAAUAGUAUUAAGGUGGUUCAUUUAUGGCUAAGUUGGCUUCUCAAUCCAUCACAGAGGUUCAACGAAAAAAAGAAAGAUGACCUGCAAAGAGGGUAUGGGGUCUGACAGCGAGGAAGAGCAAAAUCAAUUGAUUUCACAGAUAGUAGCAUCAAUGGAAGAAAUUAAGUUAUUGAAACAACAGAUGGCGGAAAUAUACCAAGCUUGGUCAAAUGUACAAGCCCCGCCUGCCUCAACCCUUGGAUUUUCUAAUACAAAUGAUCCAAAUUCCUCUCAAGCUCAAACUGGUGAUCCAUUUUACGCACCUGAUUCAGCCCAUAUGAUAAUAUGUCUGGCGCUGUUGGUACUUCUAUCAUGUGCCCACCAAAUCCAUCUGUCACGAAUAAAACACUUUUCACUCCUGUAGCACCAGCUACUAUGGGUCCUUAAUUGACAGUACAAAAGAAUAUAGGUGAACCAAGUUAUGAUCAAUUGUAUCCUCCUGAAAUGACUUUUAAACCCCCAAAUCCACAUUAUUAUGCUCAUCAACAUGAUUCUCCUAUCGUGAUUGAGAAGAUUGUUAGAAGUGAAGAACAUGAUGAGAUGGUCAGGAAAGUGAGAAGCUUAGGGCAGAGUAUGAGAAAUAUGCAAGGAUUAGGAGGACCAAAAAGUAUUUCAUACAAAGAUUUAUGUAUGUUUCCUAACGUUCAUUUGCCGCUAGGGUUCAAAAUGCCAAAGCUUCACAAGUAUGAAGGUCAUGGUGAUCCAGUGGCACACUUGAGACGUUAUUGUAACCAAUUAAGAGGUGCAGCAGGAAAACAAGAAUUACUCAUGGCUUAUUUCGGUGAGAGCCUUUCGUGUCUAGCCUCAGAGUAGUUUGUGGAUCAGGACAUAGUCAAGUAAAGUAGUUGGGAUGACUUGGCUAACAAAUUCGUGCAACAAUUUCAAUACAAUGUGAAGUUAAUUCCUGAUGAGAAAUUCCUGACUAAUAUGAAGAAAAAGAAUAAUGGAAAUUUCAGGGAGUAUGCGAUUAGAUGGCAUGAAUAAGCUAUUAGGGUAAAACCGCCAAUGAAAGAAAUCAAAAUAGUAGAGGUAUUUAUUCAAGUGUAGGAUGAAACAUACUAUCAACACUUGUUACCUGCAUUAGGCAAGCUAUUUAUUGAGGUCCUUCGAAUGGGACAACUGAUAGAGGAUCGAAUUAAAACUGGUCGCAUUGUGAGUUUUGUAACAUUGAAAGAGACUACUCAAGCAAUUCAGAAGUGUUCAGGAAAUAUUGGAGGGAAGAAAAAUGAGGAAGAUGUAGCUGCUAUUAUAGCUGAACAACGUGCAUGUCGAAGAAGAUCACGUCGCCAUUACCCUCAGUCUCAAACCCAAGUUCAUGGCCAAGCUCCAUAUAAUCACUUCUUAAAUCAAUUAUCCUCUUUCCCCCACCUCCAUAUCCAAUAUAUAUCGUACAACCACAUGUUCAACCCCCAUCUAAUCCACAAUAGCACACACCAACCCCUUAGAGUCAUCAUCUAACUCCACAAACAUAUCAAAGCCCUUCAAGGCCCGAUUUUCGAUCCAAGCCAAAUAAUGAAAUAAUGUAGAAGUCGAGAGAUAACUUCAUACCAAUUGGAGAGUCGUAUGCCAGUUUAUUUCAUAGAUUAGUAUAGGAGGGCAUGAUCACUCCUCUCUUUGGGUAUACUCCUAAUCGGCGUUCAAAAUUUUUUUAUCCUAAUGUACGAUGUGGGUAUCAUUCUGAUGUUCAGGGUCGUAGCAUUGAAGAUUGUCAGGAUUUGAAAAGAUGAUUCAAGAUAAAUUAAUUAUAGUGCAGAGCAUUGACAGUGAGCAAAGCUCUAGUCAUGCUGAUAUACAAACCAGUGGAUAAGAUGUCAAGCUCAGCAAUCAGGAAGUCACUCUCCUCCUCACAAGGAUGAUUGUUUAGUAGUUUGUUUUGUUUUCCUUAAGGUUGUAGUUCUGAAUCUAUCUUUUUUGUUUCUUUGUCGUCUUUGUUUAAACCCUUCUAUUUUUUUUCUUUCAAUGAAAUAUGGUAUCCCUUGUUGUUUUAUCUUAUUUUAAGUUUGUUUCUUUGUCUUUUUUUCAUACAAUUCAUUUUAUGUUGAUUCUAGUGCUAUGGCAUGCCAGUAGAAUUUUUAGUCAGAUCUUAAAAUCCAGUUUAAUCACGAAACAUUGAAUUAGAGGGCUAAAGUUUGAAGAAAAAGACAUAUGAGAAAUAAGUAGAAUAUUAAGACAUUUGGUGACCAUGUUGAAGCCUUCUUUGAAAAUUAAGGAAAUUAUUUUGAGAAUCACAACAAUAACUUGGUCAUUAAUUGAAAAACAUGUCUCAAUUAGGAUAAAGAGUGGAUGCGAGAUCCCUAUUCAAGAGAAACAGGAAUAUAAUCAGCUCCACGAAAGCAUGAGUCAUUCAAUAUGAGGGAUGUACAACAAAUGUGGAGUUGUAGGUUUGACAAGUGUAAAAGAAGAAGUGGCACACGUGCUCAGUUAAAGUUAGUGUUAUUAAAGUGUAACACAUGAUCUUCAUCUCUCACAUCCUCAUUACAUGUUGUGUACUUGCAUUUUUAAGGAUUGAUAUGACGAAGGAAUUUCAUUCUUCUACCCAAAUGUUGUGCCAUCAUUUAUUAUCUCCUUUGUGCUUUCAUUUUUUUGUUCAUACACCUCUUUUGGAAUCAAAAUAGAGUCUGAAAAAAUUCAAAAAAAAAAAGAGAAAAAGAAAGUGUCAAGAAAAAAAAUAGAGUCAGAAAAAUGUCAAGAAAAGAAAAAGAGUCGGAAAAAUUUCUCUCUAAAAAAAAGAAGAAGAGGAGAGAAAAGUCAAGAAAAAAAAAAGAAAAGAAAAUCAAGCAAAAGAACAAAAUGUCUGAACUACGUUUGACUUGAUUCUUGUUAUGACAAGAAACUUAGUUAGACCUACUCUAGGGUUUGGUCCAACCAAGUAAAAAAAUUAAAUUUACCCAGUAUGAAAUAAAACUGAGGCAAAAAUUUGUUUCCUUAAGAGUCAAUUUCAAAAGUUGUAUGCUUACCUAAUGUCAUGUAUAUUUUUUAGCCUUAUGUCGUCCUUUCUUUAUUACCCUAUCCAAAAGCCAAGUUACAAUCAAAGAAAGGCUUUCAGAUCAAUCUUUGAGAAUGUCAAGGCUAAGCAUGUAUGGGUAUAUGAUGUUUCAUAUUGUGGGCACCAUAAGGUGAUAGUAAGUUUUGAGUUCAAUAAAAAUGAGAGAUCUUAUGGGUCAAAAUCCUUAUGGGCACCAUAAGGCGAUAGUAAGUUGUGAGAAGAAUAAGAAAUGAGAGAGUCUUAUUGGUGAAAACCCUUUUGGACACCAUCAGGCGAUAGUGAGCUGGGAAAGAAAUGAAAAUGAGAGAGUCGUUGGCAAAAAUCCAUUGAGGUGCCACUAGCCGAAGGAGGAUUGUGAUCUAGAGGGAGCAUAUUCAAGAUUGAUUCCAUUUCAAACUCAAUAAGUAGAAAAGAGUUGUAAUGAUUAGUGUGGGUAGAUCAAGUUAUUUAAUUCAAAAUGCAUGUCAUGAUUGUUGGAUUUGGCUACCACACCCAAAUAAGUUUUCUUCUGUCGUUUCGAAAAAAAAAAUGCCAAUUAUUUUUCCUUUUUCUUUUUAUUUUUCUAUUUUUUAUUUUUUGGCAUUUUUGUCAUCAAAUAAAAAUUAUUGUCAUUUUUAUCGUGUUUUUGAGUCGACACUUUGAGUUGAGUCCGUGUCAUAACAAGUGAGAAAAAAUUUCAAAACUAGCUACUAAUAUCUUCAAUUGUACAAAGCAAGAAAAAAAGCCAACACAUGCAAGAGACAUGAUUGUGAGAUGAAAUAAGGCAUGCAGAAAGUUUUGUCAACAAAAGAGUCAGGGAACUCAUGAAAAUACCAAGGUUUAAAGGGUUUAUUUGAGAAGCAUGGAAAAACAGAGAUACUGUGUUUGUUUUAGAGUCACUUAUAAUAGUCUGAGUUUGGGUCAAUAAUGCAGCAAGUCAGUGACAAAUUCUAAUGGUUGGAAGCAAGGUAAAAUGUGAUGAGGGCAAGAAUGAUUGCCACGAAAGCUAAAGCCACAAACCUGCCACCGAGUUUUUUAAACUCGCAAGUUCUCUUUGAUGAAAUAGGAAACAUGUUACCUUCAAAUCAAGGACUUUAGAGAAUAAAUAUCAAGGGUUGUAUUGACUCAUUUCCACAAGCGCAGAAAGCAAUGUUGCUACACACAGGUUUGAUAAUCAAAUUAUGGUAAAAAUUCAUCAUCCUAUAUUCCUCAGAGACAUACUUCUUUGUCUAGAUAUUUCAAUUUUCAAUUGCUAGGUGAUAUAUUUCUUAAAUUGUACCUUGAUUCCUAGAAGAUGUACCUUUUAGUCGAGUCAUUCUCCUUGAUUCCUAUAAGACGUACCUUUUAGUCGAGUCAUUCCCCUUAAUUCCUAUAAGAUGUAACUUUUAGUCAAGUCAUCCUCUUGAUUCCUAUAAGACGUACCUUUUAGUCAAGUCAUUCCCUUUGAUUCCUAUAAGACGUACCUUUUAGUCGAGUCACUCCUCUCGAUUCCUAUAAGAUGUACCAAUUAGUCGAGUUAUUCCCCUUGAUUCCUAUAAGACGUUCCUUUUAGUCGAUUCAUCCCCUUGAUUCAUAUAAGAUGUACCUUUUAGUCGAUUCACUCCCCUUGAUUCCUAUAAGAUGUACCUUUUAGUCGAGUCACUCCCCUUGAUUCCUAUAAGAUGUACCUUUUAGUCAAGUCAUUCCUCAUGAUUCCUAUAAGACGUACCUUUUAGUCAAGUUAUUUUCCGUGAUUCCUAUAAGACGUACCUUUUAGUCAAGUCAUUCCCCUUGAUUCCUAUAAGACGUACGUUUUAGUCGAGUCAUUCUCCUUGAUUCCUAUAAGACAUAUCUUUUAGUCAAGUCAUCCCCUUGAUUCUUAUAAGACGAACCUUUUAGUGAGUCACUUCCUUUGAUUCCUAUAAGACGUACCUUUUAGUCGAGUCAUUCCCCUUGAUUACUAUAAGACGUACCUUUUAGUCGAGUCAUUCCUCGUGAUUCCUAUAAGACGUACCUUUUAGCUGAGUCAUUCUCCUUGAUUCUUAUAAGACGUACCUUUUAGUCAAGUCAUUCCCCUUGAUUCCUAUAAGACGUACCUUUUAGUCAAGUCAUUUCUCUUGAUUCUUAUAAGCGUACCUUUUAGUUGAGUCAUUCCCCGUGAUUCCUAUAAGACGUACCUUUUAGUCUAGUCAUUCCCCUUGAUUCCUAGAAGAUGCACUUCCUAGUCGAGUCAUUCCUCUUGAUUCUUAGAAAAUAUACUUUCUAGUCAAUUCAUUCCCUUUGACUUCUAGAAAAUGCACUUUCUAGUUGAACCAUUCCAAUUAACCCAUAAAAGAUACAUUUCUUUGUUCAGGUUUUUCAAGUAGUUAUGAUGUGACUUUCACAGAAGUUCUCUGACGAUAAACUGGGGCAAAAAUUUAAUUGUUGUUGUUUGGAACUUCACUUUUACAGAAAAUGGAAUAUCUGUUUAUAAUAAUCUUUGUUUGGAUAAUUUUCUUUCUAGUUUUGAUGUGAUUUCAGGAGCCCACCUGAAGAACAGGGUGAAGAAAAAGAAUGUCCAAGAGCCCGCAUAAAGAACAGGUUAAAGAAAAAGGAAGUCCAGGAGCUCGCCUGAAGAACAUGGUAAAGAAAAAGUAAUUUCAGGAGCUCGUUUGAAGAACAUGGUGAAGAAAAAGUAAUUUCAGGAGUCUGCCUAAAGAACAGGGUGAAGAAAAAGAAGUUCAGGAACCCGCCUAAAGAACAGGGUGAAGAAAAGUAAGUCCAUGAGCCCGCUUGAAGAAUAGGGUGAACACUGUCAGGUGAAGAAAUAACAAGUCAGGAGCCCGCCUAAAGAAUAGGGUGAAUUUUCAAGUUCAAGUCGCAAAGAUUCGAAUCAAGAUUCUAGAGAAAUUGCAUUUUUUCACUUGUAUUUUUAUUUUUGAUUUUGUUAUUCACGUGGAUGUAAAAAGUAGAAAUAGUGAACCGAAAACUCGAUGGAAUCUCACUCGACCUCUAUCUCUUUCUCUCACUUUUUACCUUUGAACUACACGUGACCUAAUUCUCUUAUAACCUGAGAUAUGUAGAAGGUCCAAAACCAGGACUUAGUCACAUCUUUUCUUUUAUUUCUAAUUUUAUUUUAUCCUUACUUUUCGAAUAAUCGUAAGGUCAAAAAUCAUAUCUUGUCUACUUUGUCUUAUGAAAACUUUUCGAGAUUCCACACAAGGAGGGAAAAAAUGUAGACACAUGAUUUUUGACCCUCCUCGAAUUUUAACUUAUUUUUUUAUUUUAAAUAUAUAUAUAUUUGAUCCGAUAUUUUUUUAAUUCUUAUUUUAUUUUAAUAAAUUUGUAGUUGAAAAAUAAAUAACUAAAUAAAGUUGAUUUUGAGAUAUAUUAUUUUAUCUUAAUUUAAAUUUUAAAAAUAAUACAAAAAUUAAGAAAAAUAUUUUUCUUUUUUAAUUUUUAAAUAACUAAGCUAGUAUUUUUAGUACUAUCUUAAUUAUAUUUGUUUUUAGCCUUUUAUGAACUUUUAUUGUAUUUUCUUAAAUAUAAAAAUUAAUUAUUUAAUAUUAUAUUAUUUUUUUAUUAUUCUAUUUAUUUAUUAUUUUUAUUUUUAUUUAAUAUUAUUAUUAUAAUAAAAAAUCAAAAUUUGAAAAUCCUAUCCUAUAUAUUAUUUUUUUUAUUAUUAUUAUUUUAUUCAUUUAUUUAUUAUUUUUAUUUAAUAGUAUUAUUAUAAUAAUAAAAAAAUCAAAAUUUGAAAAUCCUAUCCUAUCUGUUGUAACUGUUCCCCCAAAGUCCUUUUAUUUAAGGACUUCCCCCUACCCAGACAACCCAGAGGAUUCUAAGUACUAUUCUCACCACCUAUAUUGUAUUACACUCUUAGCACCUAUACUGUAUUACACACUACAAAAAAAGAGAGUGAAAAAACAGAGAGCAAAAACCAGAGAAAAACAAAAACAUCAAACAAAAGAGAGAAAAGAGGAAAUUCGAAGUUGGAGGUUUUGUCAAAUUUUUGGUGACAAAUUUUAUAAUUCAGGUUAAAACAUUCAGGUUCUUAUUCAACUUUGUAUUUAUUUUAAUAAGUUUUUGUUAUAAAUAAAGUCAUAACAUAUAUUUUUUUAGUAAUUUCAUGAAUUGUUGUAUGAAAAUUCAUUGUAGUAUCCUGUUUUAUCUAUGUGAUCCUUUAUUCAAGUAUUUUGUGAAUGUUAUUAAUAGUGAAAAGUGAAAUUAAUAGAAUGCAGCAAACUGUCUGAUUUUUUAUGUGUAUAUAACAAAAAUAUAGUAAAAAUUGCUUACACAGUAUUUCACUUUUUCACAGAUGCACACACAACAUCAACACAUGCACAUACUACAUACACAUAUUGUUUUUUUUUUCAGUGAGCACACAUUCACACUUUCUCCCUUUCCGGUCACAAAUAUGUUGUGACACAUUCGCACACAACAGAAAGAGAGAAAGAUGGUAUCUGGCGAGUGAACGAAAAAAACAAAAGAAAAACAAAGAAGAAAUAAUAGAAAAUCAGUCAAAAAUAGAGAGAAAAAUGGAGAAAAACAAAUCGCAAAUCCCAUUAUUCCGGUGAUGUUUUCACCGAAAAUGGCAUUCCGUCGUCAAAAAAUGUCACCAACUUAAAACUCCGGUCAAAAUCAGUGAUCAACACACCAAAAUAAUCUAAAAUUCGGCUGACUAGGCACAUGUACCAAUCCGGCCACCUUCAAACUGCCAAAAAUCGACAAAACCACGCCGCCCCACACCCCUUCCCCAGAUCUAUCAUCAGCGCUACCCUUUCCCCUCCCUAUCAGCCGGUACGACCUCCUUACUCACCAAAAUAUUGGUCAAACUCAUCGGAAGACAGUACCAACCACGCCGGCGGCCCUCAAUUGACCAGCACGAUCCCGCCGCCUGCAAAAUCAUUAAAUCAGUCAACCCCCUCCCUUCUCCCUUUCUAGAUACAGCCAUCAUCAAUGGCCGACGAUCCGACCUCCCCCAUCCCCUUUUUCGUUACCCCACCGUCCAACUCCGGCCAGUGACCAUCUCCAUUAAAAAAAUGAUGCUAUCUGUUUCUGUUAAUAAUAUUAAUUAUCAUGAGAUUUUUAUGCAGACUAUUAAAAUGUUAAUUUUAAAUAUCUUUGGAAAUCUGCCUUUUACUACAUUAGAAAUUAUAUUAAUUUCCUUAUUUGACAAUAUUUCAUCACUUAUCAACUUGUAAUUAAAAAUACAAUAUUAAUUUAAAUCCUCAUUAUUUUAAAUAAUUAUGUUUCAUUUUGAUUUUAUAUAUCUUUGUUUUCGGGUUGCUCAAUUUUUCUUUCAUGAAUUUUUGUUUAAAUCAGAUUAUUGGAAUUUUUUAUGUUUAAUUUAUCUUAUAAAAAUAUGAUUUAAGUUUUGUAUGAAUUUAAAGAGAUUAAAUUUAGGGAUCAUAUUAAAUUUAGCUUAAUAUAGGUAGAUUUAUGUAUUUUAUUUAUUUUAUUAUUAUUUCAAUAGAAUUUAAUAAUCAUUUAUUGAUUUAAUUAAUUGUAUUAAAUGAAUUUUGAUUUAAUUUAUCAUUAAGAAUUUAGACAAAUUUUAGAAGCAUUUUAAAAUAUUUGUUUAAAUUAAGAAUACGACGUACGCAUCUUUUCGAGAUAUUUUUAAAAAUUCAAGGAUGCAAUAAUGCACCUUGAUAAAUAUUUUCCUAAAAUUAAUUCUCACUGAUUUAUUUAACGUAAAAGACAUAGGUAGCCAACGAUUUUAGGCCUUAAUAUAAUUUAUAAAAAUAGUUUUAGUCAAGAUAAGUCAAUAAAAGCAAUCGUUCUAGAACCACGAGACUCAAGGGGUGUCUUACACCUUUUCUUUAGUCAAUAGAAUUCCUUACCCGAUCUUCUAUUUUCGCAGAUCAAAAUAAAAGAGUCAUUUCUGUUUGACUAGAGAUUCAAAAGGUGACUUGGAACAUCAUAACUCAAUUUCAAGUAGGACUUUAUAAAUAAACUAAUCCCUAUUCAAAAUUAUCACCUUACUUGAAAAAAUACUUCGACUCGGCCCUCAAGCGGAAAGAGGUCUGACAUACGGGAUUCCCUCAAAAUAUGGUCAGUGGUUUUCUAUUUACUACAAAUACUACAGCUUGGAUCUGCGUCAAUUCCUAUUUGAUUUAGGAAUUGCUUAGCCGGAAGUCUGUUAUGAAAGCAAAUCCAAAGAAAAAAAUUUACUUUAUUAGGGCACUUCAAUUUCCAAAUCCAUUUAUAGUUAAGAGUUAGAAUCAGUACAUUGGGAGUUCUUCUGAAGUAAAUGUUGAUAUGCCAUGGCUGUUGAAAAAUGGUUUCCUGGUGUGAGAUAACAUCGCAUCUUAUCGAUAAGGUUAUGUUGAGGGAUGGUGGUAGCGACGAUUACUUCGGCUAUUGUCUUAGGAAGACGGUAGCUUAAGGUAUUUAGAUCCCAUUUCCCAUUUUUAAUCAGAGCAUCCACUAUUUGUUCUGCAUUCGUUUUGUUCAAAAUAGUAUGAAUUAAAUUUCUUAAAGAAACUUUGAAGGAGGACCACGAAUCUUUCCAAACUCUUAUUUUUUUACCAUUCCCAAGUUCUCAAUUUGAUUAUUCUAAACAGACCUCCCAACCAUGGGUGAUGUUUUUCCAAGUACUGCUUCUAUUUUUGGGAUUGUUUUAAAAGUUAUCCAAUCUUCCAAUCUUGGAGUAUUUUGGUAAUAGUACGAGGCCCAUAGGGAGUUUGGUUGAUUGAAGAUUCUCCAUGCUAAUUUAGCAUGGAGAGAUUGAUUUCUGAUCUUUGCUUUUUGAAUACCUAGCCCUCCUGUGUCUUUAGGUUUGGUGAUUGUAUCCCAUCCUACAAGGUGCAUUUUUCUUGUUAUCAUUCAACCCCCAAACAAAGUCCUGUUGAAUUUUGUCUAUUUAUUUGAGGAAGGUUAGUAUAUUGUAUAAUGUGGAUAGGGAUACUAUUAAGGCAAGCUUUCGCUAACAUAGUGCGCCCGACCAUAUUUAAGAAAUCUGCCUUCCAACCCGAUCGCUUCUUUCUAAGGUUGUCAAUGACAAACUGAAAGUUCUUGGCACAAGGUCUAGUGGAAAGAAUUGGGAACCCUAAAUAUCUUCCAAAGUACAUGCGGAGAUAUUGAGGAUGGCAGAGAUAUCUCUUUUUAACUCGUUACCAUAAUUUUUGGAAAAAAGAAUUUUAGAAUUCUCAUAGUUGAUUCUUUGCCCAGACCAGAUGCAAAAUUUUUGCAAACUAUUUUUAACAUUUAUACAACUAUCCCUAUCAGUUGUAGACAUUAGGAUUAGGUCAUCAGAAAAGAACAGAUGGCACAGGUUUGGGCCAGACUUGCUAUUUUUUAUACGGUCCCACAUGUUGUUUUUGAUCUCAUGGUUGAUGUUAUGUGCCAGAACUUCCAUGCAAAGAAUGGAGAUAUACGGGGAAAUGGGAUCUCCCUGUCAAAUUCCUCUAGAGGGGCUGAAAAAGUCCGUCCUCGUAGCAUUGACUAAAAUAGCAACAGGGCUAGUACAUAUGCAGGAUAUAAUAAGGUUUAUAAUAUUCAAUAGGAAAUUAAAAUAGUGUAGUAUAUGUCUGAUAAAAGACCAUUUUAUUUUAUUGAAAACCUUUUCUAGGACGUUGCCCUUAUCCCCUUUUAUUUUAUUAAAGUUUCUGAUUAUUUUCUGGAUGAUAAUAGCAUUAAGCUUGUCUGACACGGGCCUAUGAUUUUGUCCAUAAUAGGACACAUCCUUUUUGAAAUAAUUUUUGUAAUGAUUUUAUAUGACGCAUUACAAAAACUGAUGGGGCGGUAGCUUUUGAGGUUUUGAGCAUCAAGGUUCUUUGGAAUGAGACAUAUAUGGGUUGAAUUGAUACUGGGAUCAAUAGAUUCCUCCACAAAUGCUUCAUGAUAGAAUAAAAAAAUUGAUUUGCGUAAAAUGUCCCAAUAUUUCUGAUAGAAAAAGGGUGUAACCCAUUGGGACCUGGAGCUUUAAAGGGAUGAAAAGAGAAGACGGCCUCAUUGACUUCUCUCUUAGAAGGCAUUCUUCCUAGGUCUAAUUUGUCUACCUCGGAAAGGCAAAUUUUGGCUACCGGGACUGCCACGCGGAAGGAUUUGUGGUGGUUGGAUUUAAACAAGUCCUCAAAGAAGGAAAAAAUAUGGAUUAGUAAGUCAUCUUGGUCAUGGAUAUAAGACUAUUGUCCAGUUUUAGCGAAACUAUCCUAUUCCUUCUUCUUCUAACGAGGGUUGAGGUAUGGACAAAUUUUGUGCUUGCAUCCCCCUUAUUUAACCACGUUAUCCUAGACUUGAGUUUCCAGUAAUCUUCUUCCAUCCUAAGGAGGACAUUAUAAUCAUUUAUAAGCUCCUUUUCUAGUUUUUGGAGGAACAUACUGCGGUGAUAGUUAGGGGAUUUUUGAAUCCCAUAGAUUUUACGAAGCAACUUAUCUUUUUUUCUAAAAAUAUUCCCUAUGUUAUUGCAUGCCCAUGCAGAUGCUUCUUUUUCAAAUAUAACUACUGCCUCAACUAAUGGAGGAUCAUUUUCCCAUACGUGGGAAAGUAUGUUAAUAAACUCUGGAUUGGUCAUCCAUAUUUUUUCAAAUUUGAAUAUACGCUUUCGAAGAUUAUGGUCAUCCCUAAAUAAUGUUAGAAGGAGAGGGAAGUGGUCAGAGUGAGUAUGAGGUAGGUGGAUUACGUGGGCAUUAGGGUACUAAACAAGCCAAUCAUUAGUUACAAGGAUUCGGUCCAGUCUCCCAAGGAUUAAAGCAUUACGAUUAUUGAUACUCUUAUUUAGCCAAGUAUAUUUACUAUCUUUGUAUCCCAUAUCUAUAAAUUUGUAAUAGUUUAUCACUUGAUGAAAUUCAACGGAUUGAGAUCUGUUAAUCAACUUACCACUUUUCUUUUCUGAGUUGGAUAGGAGCUCAUUGAAAUCACCUCUUAUUAACCACUUACCUGGGAAACUGUCCUUGAUAUGUUUGAGAUUUUGCCAUAAAGUCUUACAUUUGUGAGUAUAUGUACUAGCAUAUAUACAACUAUAAAGCUAAGUAUCAUUGUUGUCUCUUACCUUAACAAUAGCAUGAAUUUCCUGGUUUGUGGUAGCAAUCUCGUCCAGUUCCAGGAUAGAGUCAUCCCACAUGACUGCUAGGCCACCUGCAUUUCCAAAUGUUGGGUCCUCAAUGAUCCUAUUAAAAGAAAAAUCAUUGAGCAGUAGUUGGUUGUCUUGCAUCUUUGUUUCCAGCAAAGCGACUAGAGGAGGCUUGUGCUAAUCCACUAAAGACCUAAAGUUCCUUCUAAAAUCAUGGCCAUUUUCCCCCCUACAAUUCCAUAUUAUGAGGUUCAUGGAUUUGUUCCUUUGUGGUGGGUUUAUCAGAGUAAUUUCCCUUGAGGUAUUUCUCAAAGGGGGAGUUUGGUUCAUCAUCGUUGGGUUCAUGACCAGGACAUAGUUCCCCACCUAGGGGGUGAAGGGUCGUCGGAUGUCUAGAGAGAUCUUUAUUAGAUUUUGGGGUCAAAUGAGGAUGAAUUUCUUGGUGAAAUUAUCAUUGAACACCAUUACUUUUAUAUCCUUUAGUACAGUUAUUUCAGUUCUUGUUUCUCGCAUUAUAUCUAGAUCUUCCUUUAUCUCUCAAAUAGAGGUAUUCACUGGACUUGGAUGAGCUAAAAUGGUAUUGGGAGGUACCUGGAAGGAUGAUGCUACAUUGUUUUCCUGUGUUACUGCCUGAUUCUCCAGUGGUCCGAUCGAACUCGACAGGUUUUGCAUUUGUCCUUCCCCUAUCAUCAUUCCUUAUAUCUGCCAAUGGAAGUACAGUGGGUCUACGUCCAUAAAGUUAUGAUAUGUUUGAAACUGGGGUGGAGAUAUCGGGAUCAUUUGUGGCUGCAGAACUAGUAUUGUUGGGGUUUACCAAGUGAAGAAUGGGAUGGUCGGUACUGGGAAGUUUAUCGGGGCUUGAAGAACUAUCGACAUCCAUAUGUGGCUAUUGUAUAGUUCCAUUUCCCUCCUUAUCCCUUCCAAAGCUAAGUAAGAUAAGAGCUCCGGAGUGCUGAUGACACACAUGACCUGCCUGUCUUCAAAGUACACAUGCGUCACAAGAGCUUGGACUUGCAGGUCUAUCUCCACCCAUGACGUAGGGUUAGGGUUCAGAGGAGCUUUCGGCGUAGAGUAUAUCAGCAUUGAGCCCUCCGACAUCCCUGGAACUGGAUAAAGAUAGAUUGGAGGGAGGCAGAUUGGAGACGCAUGAGGGUUAAGUGGGUUCAUCAUGUGUGGAGUGUAGGAGGUUCUUUGGAUGGCUUGGUUGUGUAGUGAUCGUUUUAGGCGUCUGGGCAUCAUUGUUAUUUAUAUUAGGAGUAUUGGUUUGGUAAGUGAUAUUUGGAAAAAAGACCGUAUUUAUUUUAGUUUGUGAAGGUUCGGGGAUAUUAGAAGUGGAAGAUUGAGGAUAUUUUGUGGGGAAAUUUACUGAAUCAAGAGUAGUAGAUUUUAGGAUUUUAUUACUGUUUGUAGUAUCAUUAAUUAGGGGUGCUCCACUAAAAGUGAUAUUUUUGCCUAUAGCAUUUGUGGUGGAGGAUUUUUCCACGUUUAAGUUAAUAUGACGUGGCGUCCUUGUGCUGGAGCAUUGAGCGUCAGCUGGAGGACAUGACAUGUCCUUGACCCGUACAAUAUCAGUAGGGGUCAAUGUAGGCCCUUUAGUUGAGAUGAGGUCAUUUACUGUGGCCCUUUUUUAGGGUAUAUUUGUAAAAGUGUUACCUUUGCUUUCCAGCUUGGCAAGGAUGGCAUCAGGCCCAUUUUCUAUGUUUUGGGGAGAGUUCAGAGUAGGCUUAGAAUUGGAACUCCGGGGGAUAUUUUUAUGAUAAUUUGUAUCUUUAAUCUUAGAUUGAGUGGGAGAACCUUCUUUAGAAGUGGAAGGAAUAAACAUAUCCUUACUUUUAACAAUGUAUUUAGUCGUCUGAUAGUCAGUGGACUUACUCGUGUCUGUGUUAUCGACUCUGACAGCAGUAUCCUCAGGUAGAUGUUGAUGAUAAGUCACACUUAUUCCCCUUGUCCUAGGAAGGCUCUUGAAGCUAGUACUUUCAUCCAUGGAGCGUGAUGCCACCUUAAAUUGGUUAUUCUUGGUGCGUUUUUUGAAAUUGACCACCUGCCAGUCCUCUUUACUACAUUCAUUGUGCGGAGUUUGAGUUUGUGGUGUGGUAUCUGUAGUUUCCUCAGGAAGCAUAGUUGCAGGGAUUGUACAUCGAUUAUGACACAUCCCGAGUGUGUGUCCUAUCAUUCCGCAAUUUGUGCAUAGGAUGUCGGCCCCUUCAUAAACUAUAAAUUGUUUUAAACUUCCAAUGUAUAUGUGCUUCUUGACUGGGACUCCCAUUGGAACUUCAAUACAUAUUCGGGCAUAUCGACCUCGAAGCGUUGUAGAUGUACAUAUAUCCGUCUUAACUAGUUUUCCCAAUUUGCUACCAAUUUUGGUUAGAAUUGAAUGGUCGUAGUAUUCUGUCGGUAGUUCCGGUAGGCGUAUCCAUAUAGCUGAUACAGUUUCAUUUGCCUCCGAUGCUGCGACGUUUGGGUGCCACUUUCUAACCGAUAGAAAGGCUCCGUUAAUGAACCACGACACUUUUUGGAGGGUUGUUUGCAAGUUCUCCUUUUUGAGGAAUUGAACUAUGAAAUAAUCACUACCCAGAUCAAUGAGGAUUAAUUCUUCCGUAGGUUUCCACAACACUGAAAGUCUAUUUUUGAGAUAGGCGUGGUUAAUCUUCCUCCUCGUUAGUUUAAUGAUCACCGAGUAUGACCAUGGGCGAUAGAUUCGAGCUUUUUCCACCGCCGUUAGUACGAUGGCUUUGUCAGUCAGAUUGUUAAUAAGCAUCGUCUCUUCUCGAUUCAUAUCCACCUCCAUUGAUUCAGAAGGUGUGUCCGGAGAUUUUGCUGAAGUUUCACUAGAAGGGACAAUUUGGGAAAGUGCGUUUAGGUAGUUCAUAGUUGAGUAGCUUAUGCUUGAGUGUCGAUUUGGGAGUGGUGGCUGAUCUUGGCAGCCUUCUGGUAAUAUCUUAUCAGUCGGGUCUAUUUGGAUGGGAUCCGUGGUAGAUGAACAGUUAGAGAGAAGUUAGACCUUCUCUCUCUAAAGUUAGUCGUUUAAUUCAUUUGUAGAAUUUAUUGUAAUUUACUACUUUUGUCGUCCCAAUUCAAAAUAAAAGGUACAUAUUUAAGAACUUGCACAAAAAAUACUACAAGACAACAUAUCUAAUCGUCUCACUGUUCUUCACUUUUAUUUAUCUUGUUUUUUCUGUUAGACAGUAGCUUCUUCGGUUAUGAUUCACUUGAUGAGGGAACAGUUAGGUGCCAUCACGACUUCAAAAAGAUUUGGGUUGUAACAAUACCGGUUCAUUAGUUUGGAUCUUUUAUCUCUUUACUUGUUAAAGCACAUUCAAAAAGUAAAUUAAACAAGAAAAAAGAGGUUAAAUUGUAUAUAUGCAAAGAGACUCUUGACUGGCAGCAUUUGUAAAAUAGCAAGGGAAGGGAAGCACACAACAAUCACAAAACCAUAAUGUAGAAACUUACAUCUACAUCAUUUGUUUAGCCUAUAAGUAGGAAUAGCCAUUAAAGGGUUUUGUCUGGAUGUUACUAUCCCAAAGUGCUCAUCAAUGUCCAAAUCACUAGGCUGCAUACCAUUUGGAAGCUCCCACUCAAAGCAAUGCACCAAUUGUGCCACCACAAGGCGGACGACAGUAAUUCCCAACUGCAUUCCAGGGCAGCUUCUUCUCCCAGAGCCAAAUGGUAUAAGUUGGAAGUCGUGUCCACGAAAAUCUAUACUGCUUUCAAGAAAUCUAUCUGGCAAGAACUUGUCAGGCUCAGGCCAAACAUUUGGAUCCCUCUGAACAGCGUAACAGUUUACCAGGAUUCGGGAUCCCUUUGGUAUGUGGAGAUCAGAGACAACACAAUCUUCCAUGGACUCAUGAUAAAAUAGCGGCGCUACAGGAUGCAUCCUCAUGCCCUCUUUUACAACCAUGUCUAAGUAGUUUAAAUUCUCCAGGUCGGAUUCUUCUACCCUUCUUUCAAGUCCUACAACUUCUUGCAACUCCUUUCGUAGCUUCUUCAUCACUUCAGGGUGCCUAAGAAGUUCUGUGAGUAUCCAUUCCACUGAUGAUGCAGUAGUGUCCAUUGCAGCAAAAAGCAUGUCCUGUAUAGAAAAGGAGGAAACUGGGGAAUUAAUUAGCACAAACUGUUUCAUUCUCAAGGCAUGUGAUACAUAUGACAAAGUAGGGGUACAAGUACAUACCAAGAGUAUAGCUUUUAUAUUACAACGGUCAAACUGAAAUUCUGCUUCUCCGGAUUUCAUUACGUCCAUCAUGGUGUCCACAAAGUCCUUGGUUUGCUUCCGGUCAUGAUCCUCGACAUGUUCAUCAAUAAUCUUCUCAAGAAACUCAUCAAACACCUUUGAAAGAUCCUUGAGCUUGCGAGUGAGACCCUGGAGAUCAAUAACACCAAGGAGGGGGAAAAAAUCUCCAAGAUUUGGUGCGGCUGAUAAACGCACAACCUCUUGAACAACAGCUUUGAAUCCCCUCUUGUCCAAGUCCUCAUCCAUGUACUUCUUUCCAAACACCAUUAAGCAAGUCACGUUUGCAUUCAAGGAUGUAAUCUUUGCACUAAGAUCAAGAGCUACAUGAUCACGAGCUUCCUCUUUUAGAGAUUCAAUCAGAAGUUCAACUUCCUGCUUUCUCAUGGAUUGAAACGAAUGGAUCUUGUGAUUGCUCAGAAGGUGCACUGUGCACAAUUUCCGCAUGUUACGCCAAUACACACCAUACUUUGCAAAUAUCAUAUUUUUUUGGCCAUAAGCCAAAUAUUGAGAUGCCUCAUGAUGAGGCCUACUAGCAAAGAUGUGAUCAUAUGUCUUGA
RNAcentral lists this long non-coding RNA (45695 nucleotides) under Capsicum annuum. RNAcentral's name for it is "long non-coding RNA (CANN_LNC014797)". Lineage: Eukaryota; Viridiplantae; Streptophyta; Magnoliopsida; Solanales; Solanaceae. The record is from RNAcentral.